RNAcentral lists this long non-coding RNA (67288 nucleotides) under Hordeum vulgare. RNAcentral describes it as "long non-coding RNA (HVUL_LNC004096)". Lineage: Eukaryota; Viridiplantae; Streptophyta; Magnoliopsida; Poales; Poaceae. The record is from RNAcentral.
GCAGAGAUGCUCAAGAUGAAUAGGCGAGGGCCGCUCCAAAAGAUAAGGAAAGGGAGAAUGCAAAGUGUGCGNNNNNNNNNNNNNNNNNNNNNNNNNNNNNNNNNNNNNNNNNNNNNNNNNNNNNNNNNNNNNNNNNNNNNNNNNNNNNNNNNNNNNNNNNNNNNNNNNNNNCUGCUGGCCGGAGUUAGGGGCGAACUCCGGCGGGCUCCGGCCAGUGGGAGGCUCCGGCGAGGGCACGGGGAGGCUGACAUGGGAGGAGCUCGGGAGGAGGAGAGUCACGGGCAUGGGAAGAUUUGGUCCGUCGGAUCUUGGAUCUGACGGUCCAGAUCGCCCAGAUCGGAUCUGGAGGAGGAGGAGAUAGUGGUGGGAGGAGAAAAUGGCUCGGUUAGGGUUUCGGGAAUUGCACGCUUUCCAAGGCAGGGUUAGGGGAGACCUAAAAUGGAAGGGGAGGUGUGUUUAAAUAGGAAAGGGGGGCUAGGUUAACCGGAAUCGCGUUUCGGAUCCAACCGCGGGGUCGGAUUCGGACGAUUCCGAACGCGGGUAUGGGUGCGCGGUCGUGUAGAGGGGAUAUCCGGAGACGAGAGGGAGAACGGGCGGCGCGGCACAAAUUUUUAGAACACCGACAAACGUCCGACGGUAGACCGAAUACGGUGCCGCUAGGGACGACCGUUCUGGUACCAGACGAACUCCGAUCGCGACGAAUUUCGACAGGCGGCCUAGCUAUAACUAAUCGCGACUGCAUGCCAAGUUUCACCCCGAUCAGAGAAAGUUUUACGCACACUUUUUAAAAGAGGGUUACGACGGUGCCGCGAGUGCGUCUGUGUGUGGUCGGACUCAGGACGAACAACGACGUUGACCGGCAACUAACAACGGGUGCAAGUUUUGAAAACGGGCGGCAACGGGGACGCCGAUGCAAUGCAGAUGAUGUGAAUGAUGCGAUGAUGAUGCGACAAAUGAAAAUACCCACACGACGAAAACAGAAAGAGAGGGGAAUCUUCUGGAACGUCGGCAUCGGGCUGUCACAGCUUCCCAUGCGAAGGUCUGGUUUGUAAGGGGCUUGUGCCAAAGCUUGUCCCAAAUUGGCCAUUUUUGACCAUGGCAGUGCCAUGUCAUGACACCAUGCGAAGUUAUAUGAUUUUUUGACAUGUUGUUAAUUUACAUGAAUUUAAAACCAGAGUUUCUCAAUGUUUGUGUGUCCGAGCCAAGACACCGAGAUGCCUGAUAUGCAUUCCAAUUUCUCAUAUGGGACCUAAAGAUGCAACCAUGUACACAUAUACGAUUUUUAACCCAUUUUGAUGCACCAGACCUCGUGGUUUUAGUUCAAAUUUUAAUUAUGCAGAUUAAACUCCUAUAAAACUCAAUUAGUGUAUAAAAAGGCCAAUCAAAACAUGUAUAAGUCCAUAUUUUAGCACGACACUCUUGUUGCUCUAUGUUGCCUCUAGAAAUAGUUCAAGGCGAGAAAAGGCAUCAGAUGUCGUCUCGCGUGCAUAAGGUUGUGUGUUCCAUAACGGAACUAGAAAGCUUCCCAUGAGAAGCUCCGGUUUAUCAGGAGCUUGUGCAAAACUUGUCCCAAGUUGGACAAUUUUUUUACGACAGCACAUAUGGGCCAUGUCAUGACAGCAUGCCAAGUUUAAUGCAUUUGUGACGAGUUUUUGAUUUACAUGAAUUUAAAACCCAAGUUUCCGAAUGUUUGGGGCCGAUCCAAGAUCCCGAGUUGUUUGAAAUUCAUUCUCAGAUCUUGCAUGGGACCUAUUGAUGAAACUAUGUACACUUAUGUAAUGCUCAAGAUGCAAUCCUAUCCUUAUUUCGGCUCGAGGGCUUGGAUAGGGAUAGAAGCGCAUUUCGUUGUUUUGCAAGAAUGGAUAUCGUUACAAGUACAUGUACAAAAGAGAUGAGUAUAUGGACACUCGCCACAAGCUACAUCAAGGUUACAACAAUACAAUAACAUAUUCAAUCACUAUGUAGAAGAGCAGGGUCCGACUACGGACGAAAACUAUCGAUAAAAGAAGCACGUCCAUCCUUGCUAUCCCAGGUUGCCAUCCUGAAAUCCAUCCUAGAUCGAUGGAGAAGAAGAAGAAGAAGAAGAAACUCCAAAUAGCACAAUCAUCGCGCUCACGUCAAAGUAAUGCUUUACGUGCACCUGUGACUGUUGUUGUAGUAAUAUGUGAGCCACACGGACUUAGCAAUCUCAUUUCCAAAGGUAUCAAGACUAGCGAAGCUUAACGGGUGAGGUAUGGUUAAUUGGUGAGGCUGCGACAAGUGACUAAGCAUUUAUUUGAGGUGGCUAUCUUACGAGUACACGAAAUAAGAGGGGGUAUGAUCUACGCAUAACUGCCAUGACUAAUGAUGAUCAAAUAAAUGAUCCUGAACACCUACUUACAUAUAGCAUAACCCCAUCGUGUCUUCUUUCGGAUACAAAACUGACGAGAAGAGACAAUCAUGGUUACACACACAGUUGGCAAAUUUUAAUUAAGUUUACCUCAAGCUUUCUAGAACCGGAUGUUAAACAAUGUUUCCAAGUUUGCCACAUGGCCGCGAGCACGGCUUUCCGAAAGAUUUAACCCUGCACGGGUGCUCCAACUAGUCGACCACAAACUACCAUACGCUGCGCCGGAAUGACCUCAACCACAGAAAACCCAUGAUUUCCUCGGGUUCCUACUGGAAUACCUCAACCUCGAGAUAGCCCAAAGUAUCCUCGAAAUCCCAUGCACAAGACGUUCGAAAAGAGUAAAAAAAAGUCCAGCAAGGCCACCCAGUGAGCCAGAUCCGCGUGCUCUCUAUCCACGAGCAUCAUCCGUCUAUGCAAAGUGGAUGAUAGCCUGAACAUGCGUCGAGUUGCCCCGAGGUAGCACCGCCGACUACUAGGUGGGUGGACCAACACUCAUGAGGAGCACUGACCCCGGGGGUUGAUUAAUUAUCCACGACGUGAUCAUAGCCUAUGCAUAUUUUAGUUGUUAUUAAGCAAAUAGUACCAUGUUGGGCCUUGUGAGACGAGUUUUAUCCCAGAACAAAAAUCUAAGCGGUCCCCAUAACAACCCCCAACUUGUUAGGAGCGCUUAAUUAUGAAACAUAACACCGGUAGCCGAAACUAAGGCGACAAAGGUGGAACAAAACACCAAGAUAGAAGGGCAAGCCUUCCACCUUCUACCAAGUAUAUAUGUGCAUUAAAUUAAAUAGUAAUAAUAUGGUGAUACAACAAGGAACCCAUGUUUUCACAUGGAAGCAACUGCUCCUGCAACUAGCAAUGCUAUUAGAAGGUUGAGCAAGCGGUAACAUAGCCAAACAAAUCAGUGAAGAAGAACGAAUCAGUGAAGAAGACGAGCCAACGUAGUCGAACGAAUCCUCACAUUCCGACACGCUUGCGGAACGCUGUCGAGAAGAAGCAAUUAGGAAACAAGAAUCAAAACACGAUAUUCACCAUAACAUAUGCAUGACACGAUGCACAAACAUAUAUGACGAAUGUACGGUUUAAUUAUGCAAGGUAUGGCACAUCACAACAAUCGAAUACUACACNNNNNNNNNNAGAAGCUCAAUAUGCAACGAGUUGCAUAUUGAUGAAACUCCACAUUUGAAUUAUUUAGUUCACUCCCGUUUAGGUACACGACAAUAUUAAAUGUUGUUAAGCAUGGCAAGAGGUGAAGUAUAAAUAAAAUACCUAUCUAGGCAUUUUAAUUGAGGUCGGAAACAUCAUAUAGCAUUUCCGAAAUGACCCCAUAUGUUAAUUUCGAAAUUGGUCCAGAUCUGAACUAACAUAUUUUAAUAGUUGUUAAACAGGGAAAUAAACUGGAGCAUGUGAUUUACAUAUAUAAAUUAGUUGAAACGGAGCUACCUUCUAAAAGAUAUGAUCAUCAUGAGAUGACACGGUACGAAUGCAACAUGUAUCCAAAUGACAGCCACAAGCAUGAUAAAUCAUAGAUGCACAAGACAUUAUGAAACUACAUGGAAUUCUAGUAAGUUUAAAUGAGGGUGGAACAACAAACAACAAUUCCGGAAAGUCCUCAUAUGUAAUUUUGAAUUUGCUACAGAUCUUCUUAAAACACAAUUUUAGAGUGGUUAGAUAGCAAAAUAAAUGCCACCAUGUUAUUCUAUGCAUCUUUCUAGCCAAGUUACAUACGUGAAUCAUUUUAAUGAGAGCUACGAUUAAUUAGUUAUGAAUUAAACUGUUAUUAGCAUGACAUCUAUGCAAAAUCAAUUAAACAACAAGUUUAAACAUUUUAAAUAGGUUUGAUAGUUGGAAAAUAUUAAUCUACGCGAAAUUCUGGACAUUUCACAUAUACGUGACAUUUAAUUUUGAUGCGUGGAUAUUUAAGUUAUUAGCAAAUGAAAUUGAUGGCAUUUUAUUACUAUGCAUGUCCUGAAUAUAAACUAAAAUUGCAGCACAUAAAAGAAAAAACAAUACGGGACGGAUUGCACAAACCUGCAGAGGCCGAGGAGGAUCUGGCCCAAUUGCGGCCUAGGUAGCAGGCCGCAACCACAGUAAAAAUGCAUGCAAAAAAUAUGGGGAUUCCUGGGACUCGAACCCAGGAUCUCAGCAAGAUGGAAUCGGCUAUGCUGGCGAACUCAGCUAGCGUUAAAUUCGUGGUUAAUACCAGUGCCAACGCUAAAUAACCUAAAUGAACGGAUCUAGGAAAAAUUAUGCUUCAGUUACGGGGCUCACAUGGGGGGAUAUAGAGGGCUCCGGCGUUGGGACUGCAGCGUGGCGACGGGAGACCACACGGUUGGGGUCGAAGAGGGGCACGAGGGCUGGAUCCGGGGCGGCCGUCCCGUUCCCAACGGCAGCAAGGUCCGAUGGCGACCUCCGGGCAGACGAGGUGGCCGGCGUGCAUGGCCCGGCUAUAGAAGCUGGGCCCAUGGAGCUCGGCGAGGCGCAGAGGAGAGGGGUCGUGGUUGCCAGUCGGGAGGUGCAGCAUUGGCCGCCAUGCGAGGCUCGGGAACGAGCUCAGGUUCCCGGGGCUUGAAGACAAGAUUGGCUCCAACCAUGGCAGCAGUGGAGAGCUUCACGGGGACUCACGGGUGCUCCUAUUGACAGACAUAAAGGGAGGAAAAGGCAUGAGAGAGGGAGGACUAGAAGGAAGGGAAGGAAGAAGGGGGCAGCAAGGCACGACCCGGUCCGGCGGCGGCGAUCGCCGGCGUAGCCACCAGAUGCGGCGCUGCAAGCAGCGGGGCGAAGAGCUCGGGCGAGCGCUUGCAUCUGCGGGGAGCUGGACACGUCUAGCGAUCUUGUAGCCGGGGACGAGGUGACUCGCUGUUAGGCAUUGGCGGACAAGGGGCUCNNNNNNNNNNNNNNNNNNNNNNNNNNNNNNNNNNNNNNNNNNNNNNNNNNNNNNNNNNNNNNNNNNNNNNNNNNNNNNNNNNNNNNNNNNNNNNNNNNNNUAGGUGUCAGUCACCAGCGAGUAUAGACGAGUCGUAGCAAGCUACAAGGACUCCAUUACAUCGCGUGACAUUUCCCCAGAGAGGACAGACAUAGCAGCUAAGAAGGACACAUGCCGGUCAACCAAUGUGUCCGGAGCAGUAGCGAACUACCAAGGCUCAUUAGAUCACAAAGGGGAAUUUCCUUGUAAGGAGUGCUACUAAAGUUCACGACUAAGUAAUCGAACCCCAUACAUAUCAAGUACGACACACGUACGCAUGGCAUACCGAUAUGUAUAGAUACAUCGAUGGCAUCACAACAUAACCAUAAACAUACAACCUUUAUUUAAGAGGCUCGGAAGAGCCACACACAUAAUGUUACACAUUAAGGGUCUCACGACCCAUAAUAGCAGUCAUUCUGUUACAAGCCAGCGGAAGAGUUUAAACUGUCUGAGUACAGACAGGGCAGCUAGAAGGCACAUGGCCUCACUAUACUACAGACCCAACGUAGGGCCGGAUCAUAGCUGGGACACCAGCUACUCGUCGUCGUCUAUGUCUACGAAGAACCCUCCAUUAGGGUCAUUAGCAACCUCUGCAACAUUUAUUAAGCAAACAUGAGUACGAAGGUACUCAGCAAGACAUUAGGAUAACUAACUACUCAUGCAAGGUAUCAAAAGGUAUUGUGGGGUUUCAUGCGGAAAGCCAGCAUCUGACUCGUGGCUAGACAACUUGCAUUUUAAAAUAAUUUUUACAACUUGAUUUCUCGCACAUGAGUCCACUAACACCACAACAAUACACUAUCGAGGAAUCAUUCCAUCUCCAAACGGAAAUGCCGUCCACGACACUCACGCUUAUCUUGGCAAUNNNNNNNNNNUUGACUCGUGGCUAGACAACUUGCAUUUUUAAAUAAUUUUUACAACUUGAUUUCUCGCACACGAGUCCACUAACACCACAACAAUACACUAUCUUGGAAUCAUUCCGUCUCCAAACGGAAAUGCCGUCCACGACACUCACGCUUAUCUUGGCAAUUUUAUGAGUAGCCAUUGAAGUUAUCUAUGAACAACAUAUGUCUCCAAGUAGCCCAUAUCCGCGGACGCGGCUAUUCGAAUAGAUCAUAACCCUGCAGGGGUGUACUUCGUCACACACGCUCUCGCCACUUAUCGCCAUGUGCACGUUAUGCACCUCGGCAACCUUCAAGCGGAGGCCCAGCGAGGGAGUCGGCCACGACCGUUAACCACACUAGUACCUAGUCCAGGUUUAUCGCCUAUCUGAGAGUAACCCGUACGGAAGUCCGGCCGAGGUUUCCUCCACGGCCUCAAACGAUGUGCGCAGGGUUCCCAAGCCCACCAUCCGGGUGCCACUUGGUACACCGUGCACUGCCUACCGCAUCACGGCCCACCUCUCAGGUCAGCACCAUGCACGGCCUCCAGCAUUACUAUAAACACCAGAAACUACUUGCAACUCCUGGACCGAGUACUAAGCGAUUAAUAAGUCGAGAGGGUCAUUUAAGUAUCCCAACGUGUGGUAGUAUCUAGUCUUGGAUUACAUACACGGAACUCAGUUCCUAAGGACGGUUCCAAUGAAACAACCCGCCAUGUACUCCUACACAGCCUUUCACCGGUACCUUUACCAAAUCAGGUUCAACACACAAUCUUUGCUUACUGAACACAUUCUCACAAUUCUGUUCAUCUCCGAGAUGACAGACCAUACACAACUCUAAGCAUAGCAUGCAUAGCAGGAUANNNNNNNNNNCGAACACAUUCUCACAAUUUUUUUCAUCUCCCAGAUGACAGACCAUACACAACUCUAAGCAUAGCAUGCAUAGCAGGAUAAGGCACAUCACAGCUCAAGCAACUACACGGUAUGAUAGGUUGCAAGGUUCGGCUAUUUACUGUGACAAGGUUAGGUCAUGCAAAGGAAGUGGGUUCAACUAAUUGUGGCAAAAGCAGUUGAAGCAUUUGAUCCUAAUGCAAUAAAUAGGUGCAGGAGCGAGAACAUGGAAUUUAUCGGGAUGAUCAAAAAUGGUUGCUUGCCUUGUUGCUCAGAGGAGGGACAAUAUCUGUCAGACGGAUAUUCGGUGGAAUCCGAGGGUGCGGAGCCUACCGAAAUGAAUGGCAACAAUCAAUAACAAUCAUAUGCAAACUAGAUGAUGCAUGAGCAUGGCAUGAGAAUGCAAGGUGAUAAAAUUAUAAUCAACAUGUGUUAGGUUUGAAGUUGAUUUGAAUCACAUUCAAAAUCAAUUCAAACGAGGUAUUCUCGAAUACCGAUUUAAUUGAUUCGACCUGAUGCUCAGAUCAACUUGAUGUUAACAUGCAUGAGAUGUCAUGUUAGGGUACUGAUUUGUAAUUAGGAUAGUGUGUGAUCAAGUCAAACAAAGAGAAAUUUAAUUACUUUUCAUAUUCCAUUUAUAAGUAAUUAUAAGAAUUGACUUAUUCCUUAAUCUACUUGUUUGGGUUCUGUAACUUUUUCAAACAUGAAUGAAAAUAGCAUAUUCAAAUUCCUUGAAUUUUUCUGAUACUUUUUCAUAUAUAAAUUAUUUUCAUUGGAGUUAUAGAUUAAUUUCUAUGAAUUUUUGAAGUUUUAAACAUUUCUGGAAUUAUUUUUGUACUGGAAAAUACUUUUAUUGCAUCAGCAUGACAUCAGCAGGUCCAUCUGGCCGUUGAAAGUCAAACCUGACCAGUGGGACCCACUGGUCAGUCUCUCUGGUCAAUUUUAGAUUAAGUUUAAAUGUAAUUAACUGAUUAACCUUACUGGACCCACAUGUCAGUGACUGAUUAACUUAUUUGAUUUAUUUCUAUUAUCUUUAAACUUGCCAGAGGUUGGCCCCACCAGGCAGUGGCUCAGGACAGCCGAGAUCCACCGGCGGCGAGGUCGUCCUCGCCGGCGGGGANNNNNNNNNNNNNNNNNNNNNNNNNNNNNNNNNNNNNNNNNNNNNNNNNNNNNNNNNNNNNNNNNNNNNNNNNNNNNNNNNNNNNNNNNNNNNNNNNNNNCUUAGGGGAAAUGACCGCAUGCUCACGCGGAGUGCAGAGCAGGGCUUAGACGGCUCGGGGAAGGCCUGGGAGCGACGAAUCGAGCAGAGCUCGCCGGCGGCCGAAGGUUGAAGAUGACGGUGCCGUGGGCGUUGCAGGGCUCGGGGUGGCUUCGGCUUCUGCAGGGAGGACCAGACCGACGAGGCGGAGCUAACGACGUGGUCUGAGAGGGGAUCCUAUGGCUAGGGGCACGGGCAGCUCGAGCUUUGCUCGGCUCCAAUGGUGGCAGAAGGCGGAGGAGAGAUCCGAGAGGAGGGGGAGGAUCUGGCGCUGGGAAUGGAUNNNNNNNNNNGCGUGCUCUGAGAGGGGAUCCUAUGGCUAGGGGAACGGGUAGCUCGAGCUUUGCUCGGCUCCAAUGGCGGCAGAAGGGGGAGGAGAGAUCCGAGAGGAGGGGGAGGAUCUGGCGCUGGGAAUGGAUAGGGUCGGCCUCGGGGAGCUUAUCCCCGGCCUUGCCAGUGCGAGACGGUGGCCAGGCAGGCGCACAGGUGCGUGGCCGCGCCGGAGAACGCGGCGGCCACCUCCUGCUGCCCACUAGAUGGGCCGGGCCAGGUGAGGGGCACAUAACUCUUUUCCCUUUUUUUUUCAGUUUUUGUUUCUGUUUUGCUAUAUCACUGAUUUUCUAUUUAUUUCAACUCCCAAACAAAAUGUAAAAACNNNNNNNNNNNNNNNNNNNNNNNNNNNNNNNNNNNNNNNNNNNNNNNNNNNNNNNNNNNNNNNNNNNNNNNNNNNNNNNNNNNNNNNNNNNNNNNNNNNNGAAAAAGUUACAGAACCCAAACAAGUAGAUUAAGGAAUAAGUCAAUUCUUAUAAUUUCUUAUAAAUGGAAUAUGAAAAGUAAUUAAAUUUCUCUUUGUUUGACUUGAUCACACACUAUCCUAAUUACAAAUCAGUACCCUAACAUGACAUCUCAUGCAUGUUAACAUCAAGUUGAUCUGAGCAUCAGGUCGAAUCAAUUAAAUCGGUAUUCGAGAAUACCUCGUUUGAAUUGAUUUUGAAUGUGAUUCAAAUCAACUUCAAACCUAACACAUGUUGAUUAUAAUUUUAUCACCUUGCAUUCUCAUGCCAUGCUCAUGCAUCAUCUAGUUUGCAUAUGAUUGUUAUUGAUUGUUGCCAUUCAUUUCGGUAGGCUCCGCACCCCCGGAUUCCACCGAAUAUCCGUCUGACGGAUAUUGUCCCUCCUCUGAGCAACAAGGCAAGCAACCAUUUUUGAUCAUCCCGAUAAAUUCCAUGUUCUCGCUCCUGCACCUAUUUAUUGCAUUCGGAUCAAAUGCUUCAACUGCUUUUGCCACGAUUAGUUGAACCCACUUCCUUUGCAUGACCUAACCUUGUCACAGUAAAUAGCCGAACCUUGCAACCUAUCAUACCGUGUAGUUGCUUGAGCUGUGAUGUGCCUUAUCCUGCUAUGCAUGCUAUGCUUAGAGUUGUGUAUGGUCUGUCAUCUGGGAGAUGAAAAAAAUUGUGAGAAUGUGUUCGGUAAGCAAAGAUUGUGUGUUGAACCUGAUUUGGUAAAGGUACCGGUGANNNNNNNNNNCGGAGAUGAACAGAAUUGUGAGAAUGUGUUCAGUAAGCAAAGAUUGUGUGUUGAACCUGAUUUGGUAAAGGUACCGGUGAAAGGCUGUGUAGGAGUACAUGGCGGGUUGUUUCAUUGGAACCGUCCUUAGGAACUNNNNNNNNNNNNNNNNNNNNNNNNNNNNNNNNNNNNNNNNNNNNNNNNNNNNNNNNNNNNNNNNNNNNNNNNNNNNNNNNNNNNNNNNNNNNNNNNNNNNCAAAAUUGGUAACUAGUUCACCAACAUUUAAUUUUUAGUUCAACUAGUGCAAAUUCAGUUCGGUUGAAUUCAAAAUUAGUUCUACAAGAUUUGAAAAAAGUUCACCUACAUUCAUAUUGUAGCUCAACAACUUCAAAUUCAGUUCACUUCAAUCGAAUUUUACUUCUAAUAAAUUCUAGUUUAUCAAAUUCAAAUUCGGUUCCCUUGAAUUCAAAAUUAGUUCAACAAGAUUUGAAACUAGUUCACAUCAUUUAGAUUAUAGUUCAACAACUUCAAAUUCAGAUCACUUGAGUCAAAUUUUNNNNNNNNNNCACAAGAUUGGAAACUAGUUUACAUCAUUCAGAUUAUAGUUCAACAACUUCAAAUUCAGAUCACUUGAGUCAAAUUUUACUUUUAAUAAAUUCUAGUUCAUCAAAUUCAAAUAACAUUCCUUGAAUUCAAAAUUAGUUCAACAAGAUUACAAACUAGUUCACCAGCAUUAAAUUUUUAGUUCAACCAGUUGAAAUUCAGUUCACUUGAAUCAAAUUUUACAUCUAAUAAAUUCUUGUUCAACUAGUUCAAAGUCAGUUCCCUUAAAUUCAAAAUUAGUUCAACAAAANNNNNNNNNNNNNNNNNNNNNNNNNNNNNNNNNNNNNNNNNNNNNNNNNNNNNNNNNNNNNNNNNNNNNNNNNNNNNNNNNNNNNNNNNNNNNNNNNNNNACUAGUUGAACUAAAAAUUAAAUGUUGGUGAACUAGUUACCAAUUUUGUUGAACUAAUUUUGAAUUCAAGGGAACUCUAUUUGAAUUUGAUGAACUAGAAUUUAUUACAAGUAAAAUUCCAUUCAAGUGAACUAAAUUUGAAGUUGUUGAAAUACAAUUUGAAUGUAGGUGAACUAGUUUGAAUUCUUGUUGAACUAAUUUUGAAUUCAAUGGAAUUUCAUUUGAAUAUGUUGAACUAGAAUUUAAUAAAAGUUAAAUUUGAUUCAAGUGAACCAAAUUUGAAGGUGUUGAACUACAAUUUGAAUGUAGGUGAACUAACUUCAAAUCUUAUUGAACUAAUUUUGAAUUGAAGGGAACUAAAUUUGAACUAGUUUCAAAUCUUGUUGAACUAAUUUCGAAUUUAAGGGGACUGUAUUUGAAUUUCAUGAAUUAGAAUUUAUUAGAAGUAAAAUUCAAUUCAAGUGAACUGAAUUUGAAGNNNNNNNNNNUGAAUUUAAGGGAACUGUAUUCGAAUUUCAUGAACUAGAAUUUAUUAGAAGUAAAAUUCAAUUCAAGUGAACUGAAUUUGAAGUUGUUGAACUACAAUCUAAAUGUAAGUGAAAUAUUUUCGAAUCUUGUUCAACUAAUUUUGAAUUCAAUUGAACUGAACUUGAACUGGUUGAACUAAAAAAUAAAUGUUAGAGAACUAGUUUCCCAUUUUUUUGAACUAAUUUUGAAUUCAAGUCAACUAAAUUUGAACUAGUUGAACAAGAAUUUAUUAGAUGUAAAAUUCGAUUCAAGUGAGUUGAAUUUGAACUGGAUGACCUAAAAAUUAAAUGUUGGUGAACUAAGUUCCAAUCUUGUUGAAGUAAAUUUGAAUUCAAAGGAACAGUAUUUGAAUUUGAUGAACUAGAAUUUAUGAGAUGUAAAAUUUGAUUCNNNNNNNNNNGAUUUUGUUGAACUAAUUUUGAAUUCAAGUCAGCUAAAUUUGAACUAGUUGAACAAGAAUUUAUUAGAUGCAAAAUUCGAUUCAAGUGAACUGAAUUUGAACUGGAUGAACUAAAAAUGAAAUGUUGGUGAACUAAUUUCCAAUCUUGUUGAACUUAAUUUGAAUUCAAGGGAACUGUAUUUGAAUUUGAUGAACUAGAAUUUAUGAGAUGUAAAAUUCGAUUCAAGUGAGCUGAAUUUGAAGUUGUUAAACUUCAAUUUAAAUGUAGGUGUACUAGUUUCAAAUCUUGUUAAACUUAUUUUGAAUUCAAGGGAAUUGUAUUUGAGUUUGUUGAACUAGAAUAUAAUAAAAGUUAAAUUCGAUUCAAGUGAAANNNNNNNNNNUUGAACUAGUUUCAAAUAAUGUUAAACUUAUUUUGAAUUCAAGGGAAUUGUAUUUGUGUUUGUUGAACUAGAAUAUAAUAAAAGUUAAAUUCGAUUCAAGUGAAAUGAAUUCAAGGAAUUGUAUUUGAAUUUGAUGAACUAGAAUUUAUUAAAAGUAAAAUUUGAUUCAAGUGAACUGAAUUUGAAGUUGUUGAACUACAAUUUGAAUGUAGGUCAACUAGUUUCAAAUCUUGUUGAACUAAUUUUGAAUUCAAGGGGACUGAAUUUGAACUUGUUUCAAAUCUUGUUGAACUAAUUUUUAAUUCAAGGGAACUAUAUUUGAAUUUGAUGAACUAGAAUUUAUGUCACAUCCCUGACACCUUAAGCAAGUUAGUCUUGUGCUCAUGUCUUCUUUGCAUUUGCAUCUAAGAAUUUUCAACAAGAUCAAAGAAAGAGGUGAAGAAAAACUCAAAACCCUAGCCACUACUUUAAAUAAAGGAAAUCUCAAANNNNNNNNNNNNNNNNNNNNNNNNNNNNNNNNNNNNNNNNNNNNNNNNNNNNNNNNNNNNNNNNNNNNNNNNNNNNNNNNNNNNNNNNNNNNNNNNNNNNCAUAUCAACUAUUAUGUGCCCCGCAUCAUACAUCUUGGUAACAUGAAGUUCCUAUAUUCUCUAAGAGAUGUUUCUCUCAUUCCUACACUUGACUUUCAACAAUUGGCACUCGAUUUUAUGCGUGAGGAAUUAGAGCGUCAUUUUGAAAUGAUAAUGAACAGACCAAGUGUUGAGGAAAUGAACAAGCCUUCACAUAUUGGGGGAUGCCUUCCUAUUUAGGGAGUAAGUUUUUCCCAUAUUCCAAUUUUUAGUUUUUUAUCUCAAUUUUCAUUUUUUCUAUAUUUUUUUUGACUCAUUGAGUUUUUAUUUUGGAGUGACAGAUCAUUUAUCUGGAUUUUGUUGAUUUUGAUGUUAUUGAGAAUCAUCAAUCAAUUGUGGAUUAUUCUAUUCCUCGGAUAACUCAUAUUAAGAAUGAUGAUUUCGAGUAUCUUGCAUUGGUUGAUAGGAAUUAUGAGUCUAAGAAAGCAUUUGGAAUUCUAACAGUAAGCAUCGUAUACUCUAUUACAUGUCUUUACGUAUAGUUUUUUAGCUCCAGUAUUUUUUCAUUGUUUAUUCUUCUUUCAUUUGUAGCUUCGAGACAAAUCUCAAACACCCUAUGCUAAUGUUGGGCCUGUGAACAAUGCUCCUGUUAAUCCUUCCGAGUUUCUUUCAGUUCCUUAUGUGGAGGUAUGUCUUUUUCUUCAUUCAGAUUUCAUUGAAUAAAUGAUUUUCAACUAGUCUCUUGUUUUUUGUACUAUAGUUAAACAUUUAUAGAUAAUGUCAUUUCUAGGUCAUUAAUGACAUGAAUGUUGACUUAGAUGAAAAAGUGAAGCGAGAUGCUCAUUCCAAGAAACAAAUAAAUUUGAAUAUUUUACCCCUCGUACAAUAUUGUUCAUCAUUUAAAGAAAAUUUGUUCUCAAGUAAUUCAGAAGAUUCGUUAUUUACAAAGUAAAAUGAAAAUUGCAGGUUCGUGUGGAAGAAACUACUAAGGAAGAGCCAGCAGAACCAAAAGUUGAAAACAUUGUUGAUGUUAAGGUACCCUAUAUUUUUAUUUUUUUCAUUAACUAUUGUUUAUUCAAUUAUUUCUUUUUUCAUUUUAUUUUCAAUUUUAUCCAUACAAAAAACUUAGUACAGUGAGUUGUUUUGUCUUUAGCCAAAAUUUGAAAAGCUCAAAAGAUAUACCAAUGUUCAGCUAAUGUUCAAUUCACUACAAUUUUUACAUGUUUUUCCUUCCAUCCAGAACAAUUUUGGCCUGAAUUCUGCUUACAAGACACCAAUCAUUCAUGUUCGUCCUUCAGUUUUGAACAUAUAUUCUCUUGAUCAAGCUACUAGUUCACAACCUAAGGUUUGUUUUAAUUUUCUGCUUUUUUCCGUUGCUUCUUACUUUUGUUGCUUGAACAACAAGUCUUCUACCUUUGCUAGCAGGAAGAAAAGAAUCGAUCACCUCCAAGUACUCAUGAGAAUUUUUCAACUGGAAUGAAUGAAAAUAGGAGUUUUAUAAUGAUCAGCUCUUCUUCUAGAAAAGAUAGAGUCAAGUGCUUCCAAGGAACAAGACACUCCUAUUUUUUUUUACAAAAAAGACAAAACAACAUCUGAAUGUGAUGCAAGUGUUCAAAUUCAAAUGCCCUUGGAAUUUUCUGAGCAACAAGGUUAGAGUUCGCGGUUAAUAUCUUUUCUUUUUCAAACUCAAUUGAUUAUUUCCUUUUCAUCCUUUUUCAAUUACUUUUGUGUAGACUUUUCUACAAUCAUUGAUGUAGAAGUUGGAACAAGAACAUCUCAUAAUACAAUUGAAAAGAAGAAUAGGAAAAAGAGAGCAGCUAAAGUUCAAUCUCCUAAUCAACAAAAGGAACUUAAAAUAUCUCGUGAUGUUGAUGAGUUUUUUUCAAAAUUCUUGAGGAAGCCUUUUUUGAAAACAUAGUAAAUUCUCUAAUUUAGUAACUAUUUUUUUAAUACUCUUAAAUUUUUGAUAUUUGUUCUGUUACCGCAGCACUCUCCAUACAUAACUGAUUAGCUAAGAAACAUUUCUUAUCCAAAUAUCAACUUAAUGAGAAUCUGGAAAUGAACAUUUGAAUUAAUUUUUCAAUAUUAGGCAUGGAAUCAACAUUAAAACUUGUUAUUUCAAUCAAUUCGUGCAUUGGUAUCCAAGACCAAUUUGAGUGUCCUUGCAUUUUUAAUUAUAGACCACAUAUAGUUUUAAUCUUAACUCGAUGGUUGCAAUUAUUUUUAUAACUUUUUCCUAAAAGAAGUAUUCAAUUUGAAUCAAAUAUAUUUUAAGUAGGAAUGCAAUUCUCUUUUGGAAAACUUUUUUAUGUCUCUAUAGUUACACUUUUUUAUUCUUUGCAGCACUAUUUUUGUGGACAUUGCUGGUCUUCCUGUUAGCUAUGAGAACUACUACAAUUCUUUUGAAGCAAGGGGUGGAACUGUAGAUGAAGUUAUGAACUCGUUUAUUCAACUUCCGAAAUUUGAAUCAAAUAUGAACUCUAACGUAAAACCUUUUAUCAAGAAAUACUGUUUCACUUCCUAUUUCACUGUGAGUAUCUUCCGACUUCCUUUCUUCUACUCUUGUCACUUCUUCUUUUUAGUUGUAAAUUAAGUCAAUUUCUCUUAUCUUUUAUUUGAAUGGCGACAUAAUAAAUUGUUGGUUACUCCUGAAACAUUUGAUCCAGUUAGCUGCAUAAGAUUAUUUUACAUAAUUAAUUCAGAUGAAACCCUUUGGAAACAGGACUUGGUAAAUAUGUGUUAAAACUUAUAUUGUUUUUAGCAUUAACUUUCUGUUUUUAUUAUUAUUCGUUCUGAUUUUGCUUUUUCUUUCAACAGUUAUUCUUUCCUACUAUAAAAUCAAUCCAUUGGGUUAUACUCUGCAUUAGUUUUCUUUUCGAGAGAACUCACUUUUUUUAUCCUUGUGGCACUAUUUCACAAACUGUUGAAGGAGAACUUGUUCACAACUUGGGAAGAACUUCUUUUAGUCAGAAUAUCAAUUGAAUUCAUCAGAAACAAAUUAAAAUCAUGCUCAAGCUCAGUCGAAACCUUCUAACUAUUAUUUUUAUUUAUAUUUUUAAACAGGCUUCGAACUUUAACAUGCUUUGUAAGAUUAGUAAGAAACCUUUCAAGAAUGUGUUUAGUUUCAAGCUUGAAGAUACUGGUCCGUACCCAACAAAAUGCUUGAUGUAAGUUUUUUUUCUUAUUUACUUUUUGUUUUCUUCAUUCCGAGUUAAAUUUUUCUCUGUUGUUCUUAUUUCCUUUUGCUAUUAAUGACAUGAAGUACACGCCAUAGAACAUGGUGGAGAUCACGCUAGGUGCCGAGAGCUAUAUUUUUUGCAAGCAGUGCUUUAUUUCUAUAUUUAUUUUGCUUUUAGGCUCUAGUAGCAAUGAACUAAUAAUUCUAUUGUUUAUGUCUAUUUGUUAAAAACAUUGUCUAGGAUGACAGUUUGCUCUUUUAGCAUACAACUUUUUGUCUAGGUCUUCCUCUUCUUCAUGUUUUCUUUUUCUAUAUGCAGGCAUGAUUCAGGCCACUAUUUGCCAGUAUACAUGGAAAACUUUGAAGGCAAAUCAAUGAAGUUUUUUAGUAUGGUAUUUUCUUAACAAAUGUAUGAAUUCUAUUUUGUGCCACAUAUAUAUUGUAUUUUCUCAUAUCAAAUAUAACACUAUAUAUCAAUAGAAUAUAGAUGUCGGGACCCCGAUCCUAAGUCAUAGGAAUUCAGCCUGUAACAUAUCGCAUCCAUUUGCGGUCUCACGCACGGUUAACCCUACGGCUGUAGCCUUAUCUUAGUCGGGACCGUUUGCGUCUUUUGACUCACGUAUGCAAUUGUGUCGCUAGUAAUUCAAUGACAAAGAACCCGGAUCGACAUGUCUAGUCAUAAACCAAAGUGACAAUUCCGCACAGGGACAGGCAUACAUGACCCAGCAAAGCAGUUGUCCGUCACCAGCGAAUGUACACGAGUCGUAGGAAGCUACAAGGACUUCAUUACAUCGCGUGACAUUUUCCUAGAGGGAACAAACACAACAGCUAAGAAGGACACACACCGUUCAACCAAUGUGUCCGGAGCAUUAGCGAGCUACCAUGGCUCGUUGGAUCAUAAAGGGCAUUUUUCUGUAAGGAGUGCUACUAAAGUUUACGGCUAGGUAAUCGAACCCCAUACAUAUCAAGUACGACACACGUACGCAUGGCAUACCGAUAUGUAUAGAUACAUCGAUGGCAUCACAACAUAACCAUAAACAUAGAAGCUUUAUUUAAGAGGCUCGGAAGAGCCACACACAUAAUAUUACACACUAAGGGUCUCAUGACCCAUCAUAGCAGUCAUUCAGUUACAAGCCAGCGGAAGUGAUUAAACUGUCUGAGUACAGACAGGUGAGACUAGAAGGCACAUGGCCUGACUAUACUACAGACCCAAUCUAGGGCCAGAUCGUAGCUGGGACACCAGCUACUCAUCAUCGUCGAUGUCUAGAAAGAACCCUUCAUUAGGGUCAUUAAUAAUUAUUAAACAAACAUGAGUACGGAGGUACUCAGCAAGACUUUAGGAUAACUAUCUACUAAUGCAAUGUAUCAAUAAGAAAUUGUGGGGUUUCAUGCGGAAAGCUAGCAUUUGACUCGUGGAUAAACAACUUGUAUUUUAAAAUAAAUUUUGACAACUUGAUUUCUCGUACACGAGUCCACUAUCACCACAACAAUACUCUAUCGUGGAUUCAUUCCGUCUCCAUACGAAAAUGCCGUCCACGACACUCACAUUUAUCUUGACAAUUUUAUGAGUAGCCAUUGAAGUUAUCUAUGAACAACAUAUGUCUCNNNNNNNNNNAAGUCCAUAUCCGCGGACACGGCUAUUCGAAUAGAUCAUAACCCAGCAGGGGUGUACUUCGUCACACACGCUCUCGCCACUUAUCGCCAUGUGCAGGUCAUGCACCUCGGCAAUCUUCAAGUGGAAGCCCAACGAGGGAGUCGGUCACGACCGUUAACCACGCUAAUACUUGGUCCAGGUCUAUCGUCUAUCUGAGAGUAACCGCACGGAAGUCCGGCCGAGGUUUCCGCCACGGCCUCAAACGAUGUGCGCAAGGUUACCAAGCCCAUCAUCCGGGUGUCACUUGGUACACCGUGCCACUGCCUGCCGCAGUAUAGCCCACCUCUAAGGUCAGCGCUACGCACGGCCGCCAGGAUGAUUAUAAACACCAGAAACUACUUCCAACUCCUGGACCGAGUACUAAGCGAUUAACAAGUCGAGAGGGUCAAUUAAGUAUCCCAACGUGUGGUAGAAUCUAGUCUUGGAUUACAUACACGGAACUCAGUUCCUAAGGACGGUUCNNNNNNNNNNNNNNNNNNNNNNNNNNNNNNNNNNNNNNNNNNNNNNNNNNNNNNNNNNNNNNNNNNNNNNNNNNNNNNNNNNNNNNNNNNNNNNNNNNNNGGGGUUGGGCACCUAUCGCAUCUACACAACGUCCUGAGGCUGUUGGUAUCAGACGGACCAACACUUCACCGGAGGUUUACCGGCGACGAGCUGCAGCGGCGGUCCUCGUCGGGCUCCGGUGAAACUAGGGCUAGAGGAGGGGAUCGACGGGGAAAACUUAGGGGAAAUGACCGCAUGCUCACGCGGAGUGCAGAGCAGGGCUUAGACGGCUCGGGGAAGGCCUGGGAGCGACGAAUCGAGCAGAGCUCGCCGGCGGCCGAAGGUUGAAGAUGACGGUGCCGUGGGCGUUGCAGGGCUCGGGGUGGCUUCGGCUUCUGCAGGGAGGACCAGACCGACGAGGCGGAGCUAACGACGUGGUCUGAGAGGGGAUCCUAUGGCUAGGGGCACGGGCAGCUCGAGCUUUGCUCGGCUCCAAUGGUGGCAGAAGGCGGAGGAGAGAUCCGAGAGGAGGGGGAGGAUCUGGCGCUGGGAAUGGAUAGGGUCGGCCUCGGGGAGCUUAUCCCCGGCCUUGCCAGCGCGAGACGGUGGCCAGGCAGGCGCACAGGUGCGUGGCCGCGCCGGAGAACGCGGCGGCCACCUCCUGCUGCCCACUAGAUGGGCCGGGCCAGGUGAGGGGCACAUAACUCUUUUCCCUUUUUUUUUCAGUUUUUGUUUCUGUUUUGCUAUAUCACUGAUUUUCUAUUUAUUUCAACUCCCAAACAAAAUGUAAAAACNNNNNNNNNNACGGCGGCCACCUCCUGCUGCCCAUUGGCGGGGAGGAAGACGACAGGGGCUUAGAUGGGCCGGGCCAGGUGAGUGGCAGAUAACUUUUUUCCCUUUUCUUCAGUUUUUGUUCAUGUUUUGCUGUAUCACUGAUUUUCUAUUUAUUUCAACUCCCAAACAAAAUGUAAAAACUAUGUUAAGCACCCUAGAAUAUUUGUUGGAAUAUUUCCAACCAUUCCUAAAGUUNNNNNNNNNNNNNNNNNNNNNNNNNNNNNNNNNNNNNNNNNNNNNNNNNNNNNNNNNNNNNNNNNNNNNNNNNNNNNNNNNNNNNNNNNNNNNNNNNNNNUCUUGCCAAAAUCAAUGAACCCAAAAUGGCCUUCUUAAAAGUUCAAUAGUUCUGAUAAAUAUUGAAAACUAUUUAUCUGGGGAGAAAAAUAUUUUCAAAUCACUUUUGGCAUUUUGUUUAAAACCAGCAAGUCCUUGAAUUCAAACUUAUAGCUGAAUUCAAAAAUAUAUAAGCUUUCAAAAAUGAUGAAAACUUUAUGGGUCAUUGGAAAUAUUCCAACUAACACCCCAGCAUUUUUCAAACUAUUUUUAGUUUUGAUUUAGUGCCAAAAACAAAUAGCAACAAGUAUCAGCAAAUAAAACACAAACAGAAAAAUAGAAAAGUUCUAUCCUACGCUCACCUUGGCCCGGCCCACCUCCACGCUUGUCUUCUUCCUCCUCGCUAGUGUGCAGCAAGAGGUGGCGUCGCAUUCUCCGGCGCGCCCACGCAGCUGCACGCCUGCCUGCCUCGCCUGACACGCUGGAGGGUGGAGAUAAACUUCCCCGCAGACGUGCCCGAGCUCUCCCCCUCCUCAUUCUUCCCCCUGCUCUCUCUCGUCUCGGCCGCCAUUGGAGCCCGGGCAGAGCUCGAGCUCGCCGUCGCUCUGGCCUGCCUCCUUCCCCCCUGAGCCGCGCAGAAGAACCGCCAGGGUCCCCUGAAGCUUCCAAGCCACGAGCUCGAUGUCAGACGCAGUGAAUCACCGAGAAGCCGCCUUCUUCCUCCUCGGAUCGCCGACGUUCAUCGCCGCCGUUCUUCCUCCUCAGGCCUCCCCCGAGCCUACUUUCAAUGCCUCUACAAUCCUCGUGAGCUCAGGAUCUUUUUCCAUCUAUUUCCCCUCUUGAUUCCGAGCCCUAGCCCCUGAUUCCACCGGAGCCCGACGAUGACCGCCGCGGUAGCUCGUCGCCGGUGGCUCUCCGGUGAUCGGCUCGUUGAUCUGAGGCUUGCAAAAGCUUCAGCACAUCACGUAGAUGAUGUAGGAGCCUAGCCCCGCGCGUGAUGCCCCCUUUUUUUAUGACCCCGAUGAUGCCCGAGCUUCGGCCGCUGCCAAGCUCGUCGCCGACGUCAUCUCCGACCAGAUCAGCCCCGGUUCUAAGCAGAAAUGGAAUGGCGGGUGAACGCUGGCCAGUCUCGUGCCUUCUGCCACACAAAUGGUCGUCAGAAUGGGAUUUUCGAGCCCCUCCGCCGUUCUGGUGGUCGCUGGAGGCUCACCGCCGGCGAGCACGACCUCGCUGCCGGUGGAUUUGACCCCUGUGAGCCUAUGACACGCGGGGCCAGCCCUUGGCUAAUUAAGUUUAGGAUUAGUAAAAAUAAUUAAUUAAAUAAAAACAUAANNNNNNNNNNNNNNNNNNNNNNNNNNNNNNNNNNNNNNNNNNNNNNNNNNNNNNNNNNNNNNNNNNNNNNNNNNNNNNNNNNNNNNNNNNNNNNNNNNNNNNNNNNNNNNNNNNNNNNNNNNNNNNNNNNNNNNNNNNNNNNNNNNNNNNNNNNNNNNNNNNNNNNNNNNNNNNNNNNNNNNNNGCUAACCAGAGGGUCCCACUGGUCAGGUUUGACUUUCAAUGACCAGUUGGACCUGCUGAUGUCAUGCUGAUGCAAUAAAGCUUUUUCUGAUUUAAAAGAAUUCCAGAAAAUGCCCAAAACUUCUAAAAAUCAUAGAAAAUAAUCUGUAACUCUAAUGAAAAUAAUUUAUAUAUCAAAAAGGAUCAGAAAAAUCCAAGGAAUCGGAUUUUGAUAUUUUCAAACAUGUCUGAAAAUGCUAACAUCACCAAACAGAUUAAAUGAUGAAUAGUAUAACCUUAUUAAAUAAUUUGGAGUUGGAAUUUGAAAUCCAUUUGAAUUCCNNNNNNNNNNCAAUGAAAAUAAUUUAUACAUGAAAAAGGAUCAGAAAAAUCCAAGGAAUCUGAUUUUGAUAUUUUCAAACAUGUUUGAAAAUGUUAACAUCACCAAACAGAUUAAAUGAUGAAUAGGAUAACCUUAUUAGAUAAUUUGGAGUUGAAAUUUGAAAUCCAUUUGAAUUCCACUUCAAACAUUAUGACCAAACAAUNNNNNNNNNNGCUUCAAACAUUAUGACCAAACAAAGAUCAAGAACAAUCAACACCUCAAAAUACCAUCUUCAUGCAUGCUAAAAUAAGAUUAAUUGAGCAUCGGGUUGAAUCAAUUAAAAGGGUAUUUGAAAAUACCUUGUUUGAAGUGAUAUUUNNNNNNNNNNGAUCAAGAACAAUCAGCACCUCAAAAUAACAUCUUCAUGCAUGCUAAAACAAGAUUAACUGAGCAUCAGGUCGAAUCAAUUAAAAGGGUAUUUGAAAAUACCUUGUUUGAAGUGAUAUUUGAAUCUUGAUUCAAAUCAACUUCAACUUAAUAAAUGGUAGUCACAUUAGCCUACCACCUUUCAUUUNNNNNNNNNNCUGAUUGUUAUUGAUUGAUAUUGUUUUUACCGGUAGGCCCCGCUCCUCUGGAUUCCUCCGAAUAUCCGACUGACGGAUAUUGUCCCUCUCCUAAGCAACAAGGCAAGCAACCAUUUUGAUCAUCCUGAUAAAUCCCAUGUUCUCGCUCCUACUCUUACUUAUUGCAUUAGGAUCAAAUGCUUCAAAUGAUUUUGCCACGUUAGUUGAACCCACUUCCUUUGCAUGACCUCUCCUUGUCACAGUAAAUAGCUGAACCUUGCAACCUAUCAUACCUGGUAGAUGCUUGAGCCAUGAUGUGCCUUAUCCUGCUAUGCANNNNNNNNNNUUGAUAUUGUUUUUACCGGUAGGCCCCGCUCCUCCGGAUUCCAGUGAAUAUCCGACUGACGGAUAUUGUCCCUGUGCUGAGCAACAAGGCAAGCAACCAUUUUGAUCAUCCCGAUAAAUCCCAUNNNNNNNNNNAUCCGAGAAUACCUCGUUUGAAGUGAUAUUUGAAUUUGAUUCAAAUCAACUUCAAACCUAAUAAAUGUUAGCCAUAAUAGUAUACCACUUUGCAUCCUCAUGCCAAGCUCAUGCAUCAUUUUGUUGCAUAUGCUUGUCACUCUUUUCGGUAGGCUCCGCUCCUCCGGAUUCCACCGAAUAUCCGACUGACGGAAAUUGUUCCUCCUCUGAGCAACAAGGCAAGCAACCAUUUUGAUCAUCCCGAUAAAUCCCAUGUUCUCGCUCCUACUCUUACUUAUUGCAUUAGGAUCAAAUGCUUCAAAUGCUUUUGCCACGUUAGUUGAACCCACUUCCUUUGCAUGACCUGUCCUUGUCACAGUAAAUAGCUGAACCUUGCAACCUAGCAUACCUGGUAGAUGCUUGAGCCAUGAUGUGCCUUAUCCUUCUGUGCAUGCUAUGCUUAGAGUUGUGUAUGGUCUGUCAUCUGGGNNNNNNNNNNNNNNNNNNNNNNNNNNNNNNNNNNNNNNNNNNNNNNNNNNNNNNNNNNNNNNNNNNNNNNNNNNNNNNNNNNNNNNNNNNNNNNNNNNNNAAACUCCUAACUUGCUUAACCGAUUCAGGUUGAGUCCAAUCAAGGACAUCUUGAACUUACUCGGGAUUGACAGCAAUACCCUUACCGGAGAUUACGUGACCUAGGUAGGUCACUUCUGGUAACCAAAAUUUACAUUUGGAAAACUUGGCAUAAAGGCAAUGCUCUCGAAGUUUCAUCAAUACGAGCCUUAGAUGCUCGGCAUGUUCUUGUUCGUUCUUCGAGUAGAUGAGAAUAUCGUCGAGGUAUACUACAACGAAUUUAUCCAAGUACUCCAUGAAGAUUGAAUUCAUCAAGCGAGAGAAGGUGGCUGGGGCAUUGGUUAAACCGAAGGACAUGACGGUGUACUUGUAUUGGCCAUAACGAGUGACAAAAGCCGUUUUUGGAAUGUCCCCGUUCUUGAUCUUGAUUUGAUGGUAUCCCAACCUCAAAUCCAUUUUUGAGAAGACAGAGGAUCCAGCGAGCUGAUCAUACAGAUCGUUGAUCCUGGGGAGCGGAUACUUGUUCUUUAUGGUGACCAGAUUAACUAGUCGGUAAUCUACAACCAUCCGAUCUAUUCCAUCUUUCUUCUUGACGAAGAGGACGGGACAAGCCCAAGGAGAAGAGCUAGGACGAAUGAAACCUUUAUUCAAGGCCUCAUCUAGUUGCUUCUUAAGUUCGGCUAGCUCCAGGGGUGCCAUCUUAUAUGGUCUUCUGGCUAUUGGAACGGUUCCCGGAACAAGGUCUAUUACAAACUCUACAUCUCUGUCAGGUGGAAUUCCUGGCAGUUCCUCUGGAAAAACAUCCGGGAAGUCACGGACUACCGGAAUGUCUUCAAGUACCGGAAGAGGGUGGGCAUUGAGGGAAUAGAGUUGGCAUUUGGCAACUCGAGUAGAGACAUUGACUAUCUCACCCGAGGGAUGGGUAAGCUGAACAUUUAUAGAAUGAGUAUCAAUCUUGGCAUAGUGAGCUGACAUCCAGUCCUUACCCAAGAUGAUAUUGAUAUCCAAAGAUUUCAGGGCUAUCAAUGAUGCUAGAAAAACUAGCGUGUCUACUAGAAUUUCAUUGUCAUAGGUUAUCCUAGAGGUUUGCCACUUACUACCAGGAGUUUGGACAACCAAUGGGAUUGGCAUAUCACAGAAAGACAUGUUAUGCAACUGUGCAUAACUUUCUGAAAUGAAGAAAUGAGAAGACCCAGUGUCAAAAAGAACAAACGCUGGGUGAUGAUUAAGAAGGAGCGUACCCAGCAUGACGUCGGGAUCCUCUACAGCUUCUUCUACUGAAACAUAGUUCACACGACCACGUGUAGGAGUUGGCUUCACAUAAUAAGCUUUGCCCGACUUGCCUUGCCCAACAGACUUUCCGGGUUGCUUGGCACCCACAUUCUGAGGACACUCUCGGGAAUAGUAAACUGGUUCUCCACACUUGUAACAGAUCACUUGAUUGGCACGUGGUGCAGCAUUGCUAGCUGGACCACCAUAUAUUUUUGUUGGAGGGUUGGUCUGAUUCGUCUGAGGCGCCACGUAGGAUGGCCUCGGAGUGUAUCUUGGCGGCAGAGAACUAUUUGGAACCCACAGACUGCGUUUUGGGAAUGCGGAACCAGAUGACGAGCCAAAGUCAUGGGAGUGCUUCUUUGUGGCUUCAUAGUCGGUAUGACCAGUCUCGGCACUGAUCGCCUUGUUGACCAGGGCUUGGAAGCUUGUACAUUCGUGGAGGCGCAAAUCACGAUGAAGCUCAGGGCUCAGACCCUUACGGAAUCUUGCUUGCUUCUUGGCAUCAGUAGAGACCUCCUCUGUUGCAUAUUGGGCGAGGUUACCGAACUCGCGGCUAUAGGCAUCCACGGUCAACUUUCGCUGGGUGAAUGCACAAAACUCCUCUCUCUUUCUGUCCAUCAGGCCCACUGGAAUAUGGUGCAGACGGAAGGCUGCACUAAAGUCUGCCCAUGUGGCUGCUGGUUCAGCAGGAAGCAUAGCUUCAAAGUUCUCCCACCGCAGAUUGGCGGGUCCUUCCAGAAAGUAUGCCGCAAAGGUCACCUUGUCGGCCUCAGAAACAUUCGCAGAGCAAAUCUUGCGUGAUAUACUGCACAUCCAAUCAUCAACGUCGAGGGGAUCGACGGAGUGAUGGAACUUUGGAGGAUUCAGCUUCACAAAGUCAUUGAGGGACACUGCAGCAUUUCUAGGCUGACGAGCCAUAUUUUUCUCAAUACGCUCUAACAGACGGUUGGUCUCCCUUUUGUUUCUCUCUGCCUCAAGCAUAACUUCCGCCAGAGAGGGCGGGUGAGGCAGUUCCUCCUGCGACGCUUGACUACCCUCGCCUUGCUCAUGAGCAGGGGCACGGNNNNNNNNNNAGGUGAGACAGUUCCUCCUGCGACGCUUGACUACCCUCGCCUUGCUCAUCAGCAGGGGCACGGUUCAACCUGGUGAACACCAUCCUGACAAACAAACCCACAGCUUAGACCAAUAUCAACAUUAAUACUAACUAUGGAUUAAGAAUGCACUGAACACAUGGAAUGCGGAAAUGAAUAUCCGAACAUCAUGGUAACAAGCAACUGCUAUAUAUACACCAUGGUUCAUACGCACCAUUACAUAGUUCAGUACAACCUUAACCGAAGAGCAAACUACUGAAAACAUGAAACUACUCAUCAGAGGCUUCCAAGCUUCCUAUACAUUAUUUAUCUAUGCCUCCGGAAUUCAUUUCACGACACAAACAUACUUCACAACUCACACAGGACUGUGAAAGUACAGCUACUACCAUACUAUCCUUCCACUCACGGUUCGGACAUCCGCAUAGAACAUCUCAUAAAGAUUGCCUCCACGGCCUGGAAGCUCAACCUGCGGAUCAGGAAAUACUCCAGUCUGAGACCCGUGGGAUCCAUAAGGACACGGGUGUGGCCUUGGUCCCCUGACUGGUGGUAGUAGAGGUCCCCGAAGAGGGGUGACUCCUCCUAUAGCAGGCCAGUCAACAUGAGCUGGAAGAUGGGUCCUAAUAGGGUUCAGCAUCUCCAUAUCUCCAUACCCUGUCUGGACUACCGGUGCCAGCUGCGUCAGAGCCGUCCACAGACGGGCACGUGUAGCAUAGAGUUCCAUACGAAGGGCACGAGCAUCCUUGUCUCUAUUCUCUAGCAUCUCAGCAGUGGACUGCAGCAGCGGAUCCUCCAUAGAGGAAUCAAAGUAGACCCCACCGAGGUAUCCUUCUUCACCUGGCUGAUAGGCAGGAACAUAACAUAACUCUGAAUUCUGCAGCAGUGCAUGUCUAGCCCUCAUGAUGGUCAGCAUUGAAUAGGCAGCAUCUUGUACUACCAUGUCAACAGUGACCCCCAAUCCAUAAGAUCAAUGGAUGGGCUCCUCAGCUCCAGGGUAAUCUGGGAAUACCCUAACAGUGCAGAGGUACUGGCUCUGAUUAAAAUCCCGGUACUGCUACUCCACUGUGUACUCUGGGUACCAGCGGUAACCGGACACUGACAUCAUCCUGACAAGCAUGGCCGUAUGACCCGGCACAUCAAUGCACCUAGUCAGACGAACCACCUGACGAGAAGGACGGCCAGGCAUCUGAAAAUAGAGAGUAAUGCAAAAGCAUUGGAGCUGUGAAGACAAAAUUGGGCAGCAUAGCGGCUGUAAAUGCUCAAAAACAAUUUUGAGACAACCCAUAAAAUAGGAUAGCGUAACCACUCAACUAUCAAGUUCAAUUCUCUGAUCAUCAAAACUUACUUCCUUUUCCUAGGGAUAAAAGAAACCCGAAAUAACUCUCGACCCGUUGUCCUAUAAUCUGCCGAUCAAAAACACGAGCCUAAGAGAAGGUAAGUAACCUAGUCCUUAAUCCCCGCAGAAAAGAGGAGGAUGACCAGAAUAGAAUAACUUGAGAAGAGAAGCAAGAGUCUUACGUUCCCUUCCACAAACAAUUCCCUUAUAUAUAACUAAAGCAAUUCUAUACUCAACUUCGACCAGUUUGGCUUAGUAAUCCUAUAGUCAGUUAGGCUCUGUUACCAACGCUGGCGGGACACCGAUCCUAAGCCAUAGGAAUCUAGCAUCUAACACAUCGCAUCUCUUUGUGGUCUCACGCACGGUUAUCCCCACGGCUGCAUCCUUACCUUAGCCGGGACCGUUUGAGCCUUUUGACUCGUGUAUGCAGUUGUGUCGCUAGCAAUCCAAUGACAAAGAACCCGGAUCGACAUGUCUAGUCAUAAACCAAAGCGGCAGUUCCGCACAAGGAUAGGCAUACAUGACCCAGCAAAGCAGGUGUCGGUCAUCAGCCAAUGUAGACGAGUCGUAGCAAGCUACAAGGACUCCAUUACAUCGCGUGNNNNNNNNNNUUCAGUUCAACCAAUUCAAAUUCAGUUCAGUUGAAUUCCAAAUUAAUUAAACAAGAUUAGAAAAUAGUCCGCCUACAUUCAUAUUGUAGUUCGAUAACUUCCAAUUCAAUUCACUUGAAUCGAAUUUUACUUAUGAUAAAUUCUAGUUCACCAAAUUCAAAUAUAGUGCCCUUGAAUUCAAAAUUAUGUCGGGACCCCGAUCCUAAGCCAUAGGAAUCCAGCGUGUAACACAUCGCAUCUCUUUGCGGUCUCACGCACGGUUAUCCCCACGGAUGCAGCCUUACCUUAGCCGAGACCGUUUGCGCCUUUUGACUCGCGUAUGCAAUUGUGUCGCUAGCAAUCCAAUGACAAAAAACCCGGAUCGACAUGUCUAGUCAUAAACCAAAGCGGUAGUUCCGCACAGGGACAUGCAUACAUGACCCAGCAAAGCAGGUGUCGGUCAUCAGCGAAUGUAGACGAGUUGUAGCAAGCUACAAGGACUCCAUUACAUCGCGUGACAUUUCCCAAAAGGGACAGACAUAGCAGCUAAGAAGGACACAUGCCAGUCAACCAAUGUGUCCGGAGCAGUAGCGAACUACCAUGGCUCGUUGGAAUCACAAAGAGGCAUUUCCCUGUAAGGAGUGCUACUAAAGCCUACGGCUAGGUAUUCGAACCCCAUACAUAUCAGGUACAACAUACGUACGCAUGGCAUACCGAUAUGUAUAGAUACAUCGAUGACAUCACAACAUAACCAUAAACAUACAAACUUUAUUUAGAAGGUUCGGAAGAGCCACACACAUAAUAUUACAAGGUAGGGGUCUCACGACCCAUCAUCACAAGUCAUACACACAAUUCUUAAAAACCAGCGGAAGAGUAAAGUUGUCUGAGUACAGACAUAUGGAAAGAUAAAGGCACAUGGCCUGACUAUCUACAGACCCAUCCUAGGGCGAGAUCGUAGAUGGGAUACCAGCUACUCGUCGUCGUCGAUGUCUAGGUAGAACCCUCCAUUAGGGUCAUUAACAUCCUCUGCAAGAAUUUAUUAAGAAAACGUGAGUAGAAAAGUACUCAACAAGACUUUAGGAUAAACUAUCUACUCAUGCAAUGUAUCAAUAAGGAANNNNNNNNNNGGGCAUUUCCCUGUAAGGAGUGCUACUAAAGCCUACGACUAGGUAUUCGAACCCCAUACAUAUCAAGUACAACGUACGUACGCAUGGCAUACCAAUAUGUAUAGAUACAUCGAUGGCAUCACAACAUAACCAUAAACAUACAAACUUUAUUUAGAAGGCUCGGAAGAGCCACACACAUAAUAUUACAAGGUAGGGGUCUCACGAGCCAUCAUCACAAGUCAUACACACAAUUCUUACAAACCAGCGGAAGAGUAAAGUUGUCUGAGUACAGACAGAUGGAAAGAUAAAGGCACAUGGCCUGACUAUCUACACACCCAUCCUAGGGCCAGAUCGUAGCUGGGAUACCAGCUACUCGUCAUCAUCGAUGUCUAGGUAGAACCCUCCAUUAGGGUCAUUAACAACCUCUGCAACAAUUUAUUAAGCAAACGUGAGUAGAAAAGUACUCACCAAGACUUUAGGAUAAACUAUCUACUCAUGCAAUGUAUCAAUAAGGAAUUGUGGGGUUUCAUGCGGAAAGCCAGCAUUUGACUAGUGGCUGGACAACUUGCAUUUUUAAAUAGUUUUGACAACUCCGAUUUCUCUCACACGAGUCCACUAACACCACAACAAUACUCCAUCGUGGAAUCAUUCCGUCUCCAUACGGAAAUGCCGUCCACNNNNNNNNNNACAUUUGACUCAUGGCUAGACAACUUGCAUUUUUAAAUAGUUUUGACAACUCUGAUUUCUCGCACAUGAGUCCACUAACACCAUAACUAUACUCCAUCGUGGAAUCAUUCCGUCUCCAUACGGAAAUGCCGUCCACGACACUCGCGUUUAUCUUGACAAUUUUAUGAGUAGCCAUUAUAGUUAUCUAUGAACAACAUAUGUCUCCAAGUAGUCCAUAUCCGAGGACGCGGCUAUUCUAAUAGAUCAUAACCCUGUAGGGGUGUACUUCUUCACACAUGCUCUCGCCACUUAUCGCCAUGUGCACGUCAUACACCUCGGCAACCUUCAAGCGGAAGCCCAGCGAGGGAGUCGGCCACGACCGUUAACCACGCUAAUACUUGGUCCAGGUCUAUCGCCUAUCUGAGAGUAACCGCACGGAAGUCCGGCCGAGGUUUCCACCACGGCCCCAAACGAUGUGCGCAGGGUUCCCAAGCCCACCAUCCGGGUGCCACUUGGUACACCGUGCACUACCGGCCGCAGCAUAGCCCACCUCUAAGGUCAGCGCUACGCACGGCCGCCAGCAUGACUAUAAACACCAGAAACUACUUGCAACUCCUGGACUGAGUACUAAGCUAUUAAUAAGUCGAGAGGGUCAAUUAAGUAUCCCAACGUGUGGUAGUAUNNNNNNNNNNNNNNNNNNNNNNNNNNNNNNNNNNNNNNNNNNNNNNNNNNNNNNNNNNNNNNNNNNNNNNNNNNNNNNNNNNNNNNNNNNNNNNNNNNNNCUUUUGAUACCUUGCAUGUGUGCCCGUCUGUGGACGGCUUUGACGCAGCUGGCACCGGUAGUCCAGACAGGGUAUGGAGAGAUGGAGAUGUUGAACCCUGUUAGGACCCAUCUUCCGGCUCACGUUGACUGGCCAGCUAUAGGAGGAGUCACACCUCUUCGGGGACCCCUCUUACCACCAGUCAGAGGACCAAGGCCACAUGUUGAGGCAUAGUUUAUGCCUAAGUAAUUUUGGUGAUUGAUGACAGUACCGUACAGGACUAAUCAUGUGUGUCAAGGUUUCAGGUAACACUCGUCAACGGCACAAGACGACUCAUCUCCUCUCUUCUGGAACGGAAGCACGGCGCUCUCUACGAUUCUCUUUAUUUAAGUCAUAGGAAAGCCGUACUAUUAAGAGGGGAUCCGUAGUGGAAAGGUUUGGGUGGAAUCUAUCUUUACACACGCACACUUUGCAUUCUCCCUUUCCUUAUCUUUUGGAGCGGCCCUCGCCUAUUCAUCUUGAGCAUCUCUGCAAAUGGUCCCCAGCGGUAGUACCGCUGGUGCCAGCGGUAGUACCGCUGGACUGCGAGCGGUAGUACCGCUGCAGCCAGCGGUAGUACCGCUGUCUGGCGGUAGUACCGGCCAUUGUCAGCGGUAGUACCGCNNNNNNNNNNNNNNNNNNNNNNNNNNNNNNNNNNNNNNNNNNNNNNNNNNNNNNNNNNNNNNNNNNNNNNNNNNNNNNNNNNNNNNNNNNNNNNNNNNNNNNNNNNNNNNNNNNNNNNNNNNNNNNNUUGUUCCACCUACCUAGCGGUAGUUCGUGGACGGACCCUUUUGCGAAGACUUUCCCGGCGGUAGUAGUGCUUAUGCACUACCAAGGGGCCAGCGGUAGUAUCGCUGGUGCUAGCGGUAGUACCGCUGGAAGCCCCAGCGGUAGUACCGCUGCAUCCAGCGGUAGUACCGCCAGGCAGCGGUAGUACCGCUCCUUCCCAGCGGUAGUACCGCUGGAUCUCGGGCAGAGAGUGGGAAAACGGUCUGAAUUUUCCCCCCUCUAUAUAAAGGGUUCUUCUAGCUGAGGAACCCUAUCUCUUACCUCUCUAAGCUCCAUUGUUGCUCCACAAGCUUAAAAGUGCCCAAUCUCUCUCCCUAGCCAAUCAAACUUGUUGAUUCUUUAGGGAUUGGUUGAGAAGGCCUAGAUCCACACUUCCACCAAGAGAAAAGUUGAUUCCCCCACCUAUCCCUUGCGGAUCUUGUUACUCUUGGGUGUUUGAGCAUCCUAGACGGUUGAGGUCACCUCGAAGCCAUAUUCCAUUGUGGUGAAGCUUCGUGGUCUUGUUGGGAGCCUCCAAGCUUUGUGUGGAGUUGCCCCGACCUUGUUUGUAAAGGUUCGGUCGCCGCCUUCAAGGGCACCUAUAGUGGAAUCACGGUACCUUGCAUCGUGCGAGGGCGUGAGGAGAAUACGGUGGCCUUAGUGGCUUUUUGGGGAGCAUUGUGCCUCCACACCGCUCCAACGGAGACGUACUUCCUGUCAAAGGGAAGGAACUUCGGUAACACAUCCUCGUCUCCAUCGGUUCCACUUGUGGUUAUCUCUAACCUUUACUUUGUAUUUUCUUUUACUUGUGACUAUAUCUUACUUGUCUUAAUAGGUCUUGUUGGUAGCUUCUAUAGGGGUCACCUCUUUGUCAUAUUAUUUGUGAACCCGUAUAGUGUUUACCUUAACUUGUUAAGAUUAAUUAAAAAGUGGACGUUGUCUAUUCACCCCCCCCCCCNNNNNNNNNNGGGACCAAGGCCACAUCCGUGUCCUUAUGGAUCCCAGGGAUCUCAGGCUAGAGUGUUUCCUGAUCCGCAGGUUGAGCUUCCAGGCCAUGGAGGUAAUCUCUAUGAGAUGUUCUAUGCGGAUGCCUGAGCUGUGAGCGGAAGGAUAGCAUGGUAGUAGCCGUACGUUCAUAGUCCUGCGUGACUUGUUAAGUAUGUCUGUAAUGUGAAAUGAAUUCCGGAGGCCUAGAUAAAUAAUGUAUAGGAAGCUUGUAAGCCUCUGAUGAGNNNNNNNNNNUAUGGUAGUAGCCGUACGUUCACAGUUCUGCGUGACUUGUGAAGUAUGUAUGUACUGUGAAAUGAAUUCUGGAGGCCUAGAUAAAUAAUGUAUAGGCAGCUUGUAAGCCUCUGAUGAGUAGUUUCACAAUUUCAGUAGUUUGCUCUUCGGUUAAGGUUGUACUGAACUAUGUAAGGGUGUGUAUGAACCAUGGUGUAUAUAUAGCAGUUGCUUGUUACCAUGCUGUUUGGAUAUUCAUUUCCGCAUUCCGUGUGUUCAGUACAUUCUUAAUCCAUAGCUAGUAUUGAUAUGAUAUUGGUCUAAGCUAUGAGUUUGUUUGUCAGGAUGGUGUUCACCAGGUUGAACCGUGCCCCUGCUCAUGAGCAAGGCGAGGGUAGUCAAGCGUCGCAGGAAGACCUGCCUCACCCGCCUUCUCUGGUGGAAGUGAUGCUUGAGGCAGAGAGAAAUAAAAGGGUGACCAACCGACUGCUAGAGCGUAUUGAGAAGAAUACGGCUCGUCAGCCUAGGAAUGCUGCAGUGUCCCUUAAUGACUUUGUGAAGUUGAAUCCUCCAAAGUUUCAUCAUUCCGUCGAUCCCCUCGACGCUGAUGACUGGUUGUGCAGCAUCUCACGCAAGAUUCGCUCUGCGAAUUUGUCUGAGGCCGACAAGGUGACCUUUGCGGCAUAUUUCCUGGAGGGACCCGCCAAUCUAUGGUGGGAGAACUUUGAAGCUAUGCGUCCCGCUGAACCAGUAGCCACAUGGGCAGACUUCAGUGCAGCUUUUCCUCUACACCAUAUUCCAGAGGGCCUGAUGGACAGAAAGAGAGAGGAGUUAUGUGCCUUCACUCAGGGCAAGUUGUAUGUGGAUGCCUAUAGCCACGAGUUCGGUAACCUCGCCCGCUAUGCAACAGAGGAGGUGUCUACUGACGCCAAGAAGCAAGCAAGAUUCCGUAAGGGCCUGAGCCCUGAGCUCCGUCGUGAUCUGCGCCUCCAUGAGUGUGCAAGCUUUCAAGCCCUAGUCAACAAAGCGGUCAGUGCCAAGACUGGUCAUACUGACUUCGAAGCCACAAGGAAGCAUUCCCAUGACUUUGGCUCGUCUUCUGGUUCCGCGUUCCCAAAACGCAGGCUGUGGGUUCCAAACAGUUCUCUGCCGCCAAGAUACACUCCGAGGCCAUCCUACGUGGCGCCUNNNNNNNNNNGUUGGUCUAAGCUAUGAGUUUGUUUGUGAGGAUGGUGUUCACCAGGUUGAACCGUGCCCCUGCUCAUGAGCAAGGUGAGGGUAGUCAAGCGUCGCAGUAAGACUUGCCUCACCCACCUUCUCUGGUAGAAGUGAUGCUUGAGGCAGAAAGAAACAAAAGGGAGACCAACCGACUGCUAGAGCAUAUUGAGCAGAAUACGGCUCGACAGCCUAGGAAUGCUGCAGUGUCCCUCAAUGACUUUGUGAAGCUGAAUCCUCCAAAGUUUCAUCAUUCCGUCGAUCCCAUCGACGCUGAUGACUGGUUGUGCAGCAUCUCACGCAAGAUUCGCUCUGAGAAUGUGUCUGAGGCCGACAAGGUGACCUUUGCGGCGUAUUUCCUGGAAGAACCCGCCAAUCUGUGGUGGGAGAAUUUUGAAGCUAUGCGUCCCGCUGAACCAGUGGCCACAUGGGCAGACUUCAGUGCAGCUUUUCGUCUGCACCAUAUUCCAGAGGGCCUGAUGGACAGAAAGAGAGAGGAGUUAUGUGCCUUCACUCAGGGCAAGUUGUCUAUCGAUGCCUAUAGCCGCGAGUUCGGUAACCUCGCCCGCUAUGCAACAAAGGAGGUGUCUACUGACGCCAAGAAGCAAGCAAGGUUUCGUAAGGGUCUGAGCCUGAGCUCCGUCGUGAUCUGCGCCUCCAUGAGUGUGCAAGUUUUCAAGCCCUAGUCAACAAAGCGAUCAGUGUCGAGACUGGUCAUACUGACUUCGAAGCCACAAGGAAGCAUUCCCGUGACUUUGGCUCGUCUUCUGCUUUCGCGUUCCCGAAACGCAGGCUGUGGGUUCCGAACAGUUCUCUGCCACCAAGAUACACUCCGAGGCCAUCCUACGUGGCGCCUCAGACGAAUCAGGCCAACCCUCCAGCAAAAGCUUAUGGUGGUCCAGCUAGCAAUGCUGCACCACGUGCCAACCAAGUGAUAUGCUACAAGUGUGGAGAGCCAGGGCACUAUUCCCGUGAGUGUCCUCGGAAUGUGGGUGCCAAGCAACCCGGAAAGUCCGUCGGGCAAGCCAAGUCNNNNNNNNNNGGUGAUAUGCUCCAAGUGUGGAGAACCAGUGCACUAUUCCCGUGAGUGUCCUCAGAAUGUGGGUGCCAAGCAACCCGGAAAGUCCGUCGGGCAGGCCAAGUCGGGCAAAGCUUUCUAUGUGAAGCCAACUCCUGCACGUGGCUGUGUGAACUAUGUGGCAGCAGAAGAAGCUGCAGAGGAUCCCGACGUCAUGCUGGGUACGCUUCUUGUUAAUCAUCACCCAGCGUCCGUUCUCUUUGACACUGGGUCUUCUCAUUCCUUCAUUUCAGAAAGUUAUGCACAGUUGCAUAACAUGUCUUUUUGUGAUAUGCCAAUUCCAUUGGUUGUCCAAACCCCUCGUAGUAAAUGGCAAACCUCUAGGAUAACCUAUGACAAUGAAAUUCUAGUAGACAGGCUAGUUUUUCUAGCCUCGUUGAUAGCCUUGAAAUCUUCGGAUAUUAAUAUCAUCUUGGGCAUGGACUGGAUGUCANNNNNNNNNNUAGGCUAGUUUUUCUGGCCUCAUUGAUAGCAUUGAAAUCUUCGGAUAUUAAUAUCAUCUUGGGCAUGGACUGGAUGUCAGCUCACUAUGCCAAGAUUGAUACUCAUUCUAGAAAUGUCCAGCUUACCCAUCCCUCGGGUGAGAUAGUAAAUGUCUCCACUCGAGUUGCCAAAUUCCAGCUCUACUCCCUAAAUGCCAACCCUCUUCCGGAACUUGAAGACAUUCCGGUAGUGCGUGACUUUCCGAAUGUUUUUCCAGAGGAACUGCCAGGAAUUCCACCUGACAGAGAUGUAGAGUUUGUCAUAGAUCUUGUUCCGGGAACUGUCCCAAUAGCCAGAAGACCAUAUAAGAUGGCACCCCUGGAGCUAGCCGAACUUAAAAAGCAACUAGAUGAGGCCUUGAACAAAGGUUUCAUUCAUCCUAGCUCUUCUCCCUGGGCUUGCCCCGUUCUCUUCGUCAAGAAGAAAGACGGAACGGAUCGGAUGGUUGUAGAUUACCGACCAGUUAAUCUGGUCACCAUAAAGAACAAGUAUCCGCUCCCCAGGAUCAANNNNNNNNNNNNNNNNNNNNNNNNNNNNNNNNNNNNNNNNNNNNNNNNNNNNNNNNNNNNNNNNNNNNNNNNNNNNNNNNNNNNNNNNNNNNNNNNNNNNNNNNNNNNNNNNNNNNNNNNNNNNNNNNNNNNNNNNNNNCGUUACUCGUUAUGGCCAAUACGAGUACACCGUCAUGUCCUUCGGUUUGACCAAUGCCCCACCCACCUUCUCUCGACUAAUGAAUUCAAUCUUCAUGGAGUAUUUGGAUAAAUUUGUCAUGGUAUACCUCGAUGAUAUUCUCAUCUACUCGAAGAAUGAACAAGAACAUGCCGAGCAUCUAAGGCUGGUAUUGAUGAAACUUCGAGAGCAUCGCCUUUAUGCCAAGUUUUCAAAAUGUGAAUUCUGGUUACCAUAAGUGACCUAUCUAGGACACGUAAUCUCUCGUAAGGGUAUUGCUGUCAAUCCCGAGAGAGUUCCAGCUGUCCUUGAUUGGACUCAACCUGAAUCGGUUAAGCAAGUUAGGAGNNNNNNNNNNCGUUACCAGAAGUGACCUAUCUAGGCCACGUAAUCUCUGGUAAGGGUAUUGUUGUCAAUCCCGAGAGAGUUCAAGCUGUCCUUGAUUGGACUCAACCUGAAUCGGUUAAGCAAGUUAGGAGUUUUCUUGGUCUAGCGAGCUAUUGUCGCCGCUUUGUCGAGAAUUUCUCCAAGGUUCCAAAGCCCCUAACUGAACUCCUCAAGAAAGAUGAAAAGUUCGAGUGGACACCACAGUGUGAGCAUAGUUUUCACGAACUGAAAAGACGCCUGACUUCCGCACCUGUGUUGCUACCACCAAAUUUUUCUAAGGACUUUAUUAUCUAUUAGGACGCCUCGCGACAAGGAUUAGGUUGCAUUCUCAUGCAAGAUCGUCAUNNNNNNNNNNCCUCUAACUGAACUCUUCAAGAAAGAUAAAAAGUUCGAGUGGACUCCACAGUGUGAGCAUAGUUUUCAGGAACUGAAAAGACGCCUGACUUCCGCACCUGUGUUGCUACCACCAGAUUUCUCUAAGGACUUUGUUAUCUAUUGCGAUGCCUCGCGACAAGGAUUAGGUUGCAUUCUCAUGCAAGAUCGUCAUNNNNNNNNNNGCAAGGCCUCUAACUGAACUCCUCAAGAAAGAUAAAAAGUUCGAGUGGACACCACAGUGUGAGCAUAGUUUUCAGGAACUGAAAAGACGCCUGACUUCCNNNNNNNNNNCGCAUACGCAUCUCGACAGUUGCGUCCACAUGAGGAUAAUUAUCCCACACAUGACCUUGAGCUUGCAGCUGUGGUCCAUGCACUAAAAACUUGGCAACAUUACCUUCUGGGUAAUCGUUGCGAAAUAUUCACUGAUCACCAAAGUCUGAAAUAUAUCUUCACCCAGCCGGAUUUGAAUCUCAGGCAAAGACGGUGGGUUGAGUUGAUCUCGGAUUACGACUUAGGGAUAACUUACACCCCGGGGAAGGCCAAUGUUAUGGCCGAUGCGCUAAGUCGUAAAUCUUAUUGUAACAAUUUGAUGCUACAACAAGGUCAACCACAUCUCUAUAAGGACUUUCGGAAGUUGAAUCUUCAUAUUGUUCCUCAAGGAUUCCUUUCUACCCUGGUGGCGAAGCCUACUCUAAAGGAUCAAAUUAUAGCUGGCCAAAAGCGUGACAAGGGUAUAUCACGGAUCAAGGAGAAUAUGUUUAGCGGAAACGCUAAAGAAUUUUCCAUGAACGAUCAAGGUGUUGUGUUCUUCCAGAAUCGUUUAGUGGUUCCUAAGAACCCACAUCUAAGAAGAGGCUCAUGAUUCUCCUCUCACCAUUCAUCCCGGUAGUACUAAGAUGUAUCAGGACCUACGCCAGAGGUUCUGGUGGACUAGGANNNNNNNNNNAUGCAGGCAUAUGAUAAGGGUAUAUCCCGGAUCAAGGAGAAUAUUGCUAGCGGCAACGCUAGGGAUUUCUCCAUCAAUGAGAAAGGUGUUGUGUUCUUUCAUAACUGUUUAGUGGUUUCCAAGAGCAAACGUCUGCGGCAAUUGAUCCUUAAGGAGGCUCAUGAUUCUCCUCUCACCGUUCAUCCCGGUGGUACUAAGAUGUAUCAGGACCUACGCCAGAGGUUCUGGUGGACUAGGAUGAAGAGAGAAAUUGCUGAGUUAGUUGCUAACUGCGACGUCUGUCGUCGAGUUAAGGCAGAACAUCAAAGGCCUGCUGGCACCCUUCAGCCUCUAGCUAUUCCUGAAUGGAAAUGGGAUAAAGUUAGCAUGGAUUUCAUUACCGGAUUUCCCAAGACCAAGAAAGGAAAUAAUGCUAUCUUUGUGGUCNNNNNNNNNNAAAUACCGGAUUUCCCAAGACCAAGAAAGGGAAUAAUGCUAUCUUUGUGGUCAUUGACCGUCUUUCCAAAGUGGCUCAUUUUCUUCCUAUUCGUGAGAGUAUAACAGCUAGCCAGCUAGCAGAGUUAUAUAUCUCUCGAAUAGUGUCUCUUCAUGGUGUUCCCCUGGAGAUUAACUCGGACCGUGGAAGUAUCUUUACUUNNNNNNNNNNGGCUCAUUUUCUUCCCGUUCGUGAGACUAUAACAGCUAGCCAGCUAGCAGAAUUAUAUAUCUCUCGAAUAGUGUCUCUUUAUGGUGUUCCCCUGGAGAUUAACUCGGACCGUGGAAGUAUCUUUACUUCUCGCUUCUGGGAAAGUUUUCAGAAUGCCAUGGGGACUCACCUAUCUUUUAGCAGUGCUUUCCAUCCCCAAUCAAGUGGUCAAGUAGAAAGAGUGAAUCAAAUUCAAGAAGAUAUGCUCCGAGCUUGUGUUAUAUCGUUCGGUAUGAAUUAGGAGAAGUGUCUUCCAUUCUCCGAAUUCGCUUAUAACAAUAGUUAUCAAUCGAGCUUGGGCAAAGCCCCUUUUGAAGUUCUCUAUGGACGAAGAUGUCGANNNNNNNNNNCCUAGAAGAUAUGCUCUGAGCUUGUGUUAUUUCGUUCGGUAUGAAUUGGGAGAAGUGCCUUCCAUUCGCCGAAUUCGCUUAUAACAAUAGUACCAAUCAAGCUUGGGCAAAGCCCCUUUUGAAGUUCUCUAUGGACGAAGAUGUCGAACACCCCUAAAUUGGUCAGAAACCGGAGAGAGGCAACUCUUUGGCCCGGAUAUGAUCNNNNNNNNNNCAUGAGCCAGGAUGCAGAAGAGCAAGUUCGCAUCAUUCAUGAAAAGUUGAAAACAGCCCAGUCUCGUCAAAAGAGCCAAUAUGAUCGUCAUCAUAAGGUUGUGACCUUUGAAGUUGACGAGAAGGCUUACCUUCGGGUUACACCUUUGAAGGGUACCCAUCGAUUCGGUAUCAAGGGCAAAUUGGCUCCUCGUUACAUUGGUCCUUUUCGCAUUCUUGCCAAACGAGGAGAAGNNNNNNNNNNAUUUCCAAGGUUCAUGAUGUUUUCCACGUCUCGCAACUCACGCGCUGCUUUUCGGAUCCUAUCCGUGAAGUGGACCACGAAACGCUUGAUCUCCAAGAUAACCUUUCAUACCGAGAAUACCCCGUGCGUAUUCUUGAUCAAGCUGAGCGUACCACUCGACGUCGAAACCCCAAGUUUCUUAAAGUACAAUGGUCAAAUCAUUCUGAAAAGGAGGCACCUUGGGAAGGAGAGGAUCAUCUCCGACUUGAGUAUCCUGCGUUAUUCCCGACGACUUCUAAAUCUCGGGACGAGAUUCUUUUGAGUGGGGGUGAGUUGUCACAUCCCUGACACCUUAAGCAAGUUAGUCUUGUGCUCAUGUCUUCUUUGCAUUUGCAUCUAAGAAUUUUCAACAAGAACAAGAAAGUGGCAAAGGAAAAAAACUCAAAACCCUAGCCACUACUUUAAAUAAAGAAAAUCUCAAACUAGUUAAAAUCAAUGAACCCAAAAUGGCCUCAAGAAAUGUUCAAACUUUCUGAUAAAUCAGGAAAGUAAAUGAGCAUUGGAGAAAACUAUUUUCUUGACACUUUAAGCAUUUUAAAUUAAUGCAAAAGCCACUCAUUUCAAACUUUAAAAUUUGAAAUCAGAAACUAUAAACUUUCAAAAAUGUUGAAAACUUUGGAAAUGGUUGGGAAUAUUAUAACAAAUAUUCAGGUGUGUUUAAAAUAAUUUUUUACCACCAUUUUGGAGCUGAAAUAAAUAGCAAAUCAAUGUUAGAAAUUAACACAGAAAUAAAACAGAAGGAAAUGAAAAAAAAAAAGCUUACCUGUCGCCUAGCCUGGCCCGGCCCAUCUCCCCGAGUCAUCCCCUCCCUCGCGCCAGUAGGAGCACGAGGUGGCCGCCGCCUCCUCCGGCGCGGCCACGCACCUGUGCGCCUGCCUGGCCGCCGCCUCGCGCUGGCAAGGCCGGGGAUAAGCUCCCCGAGGCCUCCUCUAUCCAUUCCUAGCGAUACCUCUCUCCCUCCUCUCGGAUCUUUUCCUCCUCCUGCUGCCGCCAUUACCACGAGCUCGAGCUCGAGCCGCAGCGCUUCUAGCCACGGGAGCAUUCCUCCGGCUAGUCCGUUAGCUCCGCCUCGUCGUUCUGGUCCUCUCUGCAGAAGCCGAAGCUUCCCCGAGCUCUGCAUCGCCCCAACGCCAUCGUCUUCCACCUCCGGCCGCCGGAACUCUCCCGUCGAUUCGCUCCCUCCAGCGCACCCCCGAGCCCCUCAACAACACCAUCGGAACCGCCGUGAGCUCGUCGUCGUUUCCCCUCUCGCCCCACGCUCUUACGUGCAUCGUAGCCCCGUUCCCCACCAAGGCCGAGAGCUCCUCAUCGUCGGUCAUGUCGUCGCCGUCGCUGUGGUGUUUGAUCCACGCGCUCGAGCUAGGGUUCGAGCUCCUGGAGCCUCCAGGAGCGUGAUGAGCCCCUCAGCUGCCCUCCCCGUGCCCUAGAGCCAUCGCUCGUAGAAGGCCGAGCUUCGGCCGCCGCUUCGGCUCGUCGCCGGCGCCUCUUCCGGCGACCCUAGCCACCCCUGAUGCCCCUGCCAGAUCGGCCACUUCGCCAGCGUUCCGUAGCUGCAAACCGCGUUCGAUUUGGUGUUGUGCAGCGCCGUUUAGGUCGUCUCCGGCGAGCCCUCCGCCGCGGGCUUGGUCGCCGGCGACCACCCUCCGGUGGGCGUCGACGUGGCCGACCAUUAGGGCGUAAUUGCCCUCCCCUCAGUUGCUGCCAGAGGGCCCCACGCCUGGUCAAACCCCAAUUAGGGGCUGGUCAGCGCGGGGUUAGCCCCUGGGUCACUGACCAGAGGGGCCCCCUAUCAGGUUUGACCUGAACAGGUCGGCUGACCUGCUGACGUUAGUCUGAUGCAAUAAAAAGAAUUUCCAGUAUAGAAAUAAUUCCAGUAAAUUGCUAAAACUUGUAAAAAUCAUAGAUAUUAAUCUGUAACUCCAAUGAAAAAUAAUUUAUAUAUGAAAAAGUAUCAGAAAAAUUCAAGGAUUCUGAUUAUGCUAUUUUCAACCAUGUUUGAAAAAGUUACAGAACCCUAAAAUGUGGAAUAAGGAAUAAUUCAAUUCUUAUAAUUACUUUUUAAAUGGAAUUUGGAAAAUUAUUCAAAUUUCAUUAUGAAUGCAAUGAUCACACACUGUCCUAGUUACAAAUCAGUACCCUAACAUGACAUCUCAUGCAUGCUAACUUCAAGUUGAUCUGAGCCUCACGUCGAAUCAAUUAAAACGGUACCCGUGAAUACCCCGUUUCAAUUGAUAUUCGAAUGUGAUUCAAAUCAACUCUAAACCUAAUACAUGUUGAAAAUAAUAACUUAUCACUUUGCAUUCUCAUGCCAUGCUCAUGCAUCAUUUUGUUUGCAUGUGAUUGUUAUUGAAUGUUGCUAUUCAUUUCGGUAGGCUCCGCACCCUCGGAUUCCACCGAAUAUCCCUCUGACGGAUAUCGUUCCUCCUCUGAGCAACAAGGCAAGCAACCCUUUUGAUCAUCCCGAUAAAUCCAAUGUUCUUGCUCCUGCACCUAUUUAUUUCAUUAAGAUCAAAUGCUUCAACUUCUUUUGCCACGAUAGUUGAACCCACUUCCUUUGCAAGACCUAACCUUGUCAUAGUAAAUAGCCGAACCUUGCAACCUAGCAUACAUGAUAGUUGCUUGAGCUAUGAUGUGCCUUAUCCUGCUAUGCAUGCUAUGCUUAGAGUUGUGUAUGNNNNNNNNNNCAGAUUGUGAGAACGUGUUCGGUAAGCAAAGGUUGUGUGUUGAACUUGAUUUGGUAAAGGUACCGGUGAAAGGCUGUGUAGGAGUACAUGGCGGGUUGUUUCAUUGGAACCGUCCAUAGGAACUGAGUUCCGUGUAUGUCAUCCAAGACUAGAUACUACCACAUGCUUGGCCGUGAAAUACGACCCCGCUCGGCCUAUUAAUCGCGCAGUACUCGGUCCAGGAGUUGCAAGUAGUUUCUGGUGUUUAUAGUAAUGCUGGAGGCCGUGCAUGGUGCUGACCUGAGAGGUGGGCCGUGAUGCGGUAGGUAGUGGCACGGUGUACCAAGUGGCACCCGGAUGGUGGGCUUGGGAACCCGCGCACAUCGUUUGAGGCCGUGGAGGAAACCUCGGCCGGACUUCCGUACGGGUUACUCUCAGAUAGGCGAUAAACCUGGACUAGGUACUAGUGUGGUUAACGGUCGUGGCCGACUCCCUCGCUGGGCCUCCGCUUGAAGGUUGCCGAGGUGCAUGACGUGCACAUGGCGAUAAGUGGCGAGAGCGUGUGUGACGAAGUACACCCCUGCAGGGUUAUGAUCUAUUCGAAUAGCCGCGUCCGCGGAUAUGGGCUACUUGGAGACAUGUGUUGUUCAUAGAUAACUUCAAUGGCUACUCCUAAAAUUAUCAAGAUAAGCGUGAGUGUCGUGGACGACAUUUCCGUAUGGAGACGGAAUGAUUCCACGAUAGUGUAUUGUUGUGGUGUUAGUGGACUCGUGUGNNNNNNNNNNNNNNNNNNNNCGGAAUGAUUCCAAGAUAGUGUAUUGUUGUGGUGUUAGUGGACUCGUGUGCGAGAAAUCAAGNNNNNNNNNNNNNNNNNNNNNNNNNNNNNNNNNNNNNNNNNNNNNNNNNNNNNNNNNNNNNNNNNNNNNNNNNNNNNNNNNNNNNNNNNNNNNNNNNNNNUUAAAAAUAAAAAUAAUGUGGUUUUUGGAAGACAUUUUGAUAAUAGGUUUUAAAUAAAAUAAUUGGUGCAAAAUAAAUUCCCUAAUUGGAGUACUUGUAGUACAAAUCUCAUCUGAGGGGUUUGAAAGUUUAAUCCAAAGAAAUUCUUUUCAGUAAAAAUAUUUUUUGGUACAAAUAGAUACUGGUCCUAAACACAUGGCAUGAUCAUUAAGGAGGAGAACAUGGGCUAAGGAGGUGAGUUGGAGAAUAGCACGAAAUUAUUGGGAAGCUACCACAUGCAUACAAGCAAGCAGGCAAAGAAUAGUCACUUUAAACAUCACAAGCAUUCACAAAAUUUUUAAUUGGUCCUAAUAUUUGAAAUAAGUUAAUUAGUCAGGAAAGCUAAACACACGGUCUUACAAUGAACUAGAAUUUACUAAAAGUAAAAUUUGAUUCAAGUGAAGUCAAUUUGAAGUUGCUGAACUAUAAUUUGAAUGAUGUGAACUAGUUUCAAAUCUUGUUGAACUAAUAUUGAAGUGAAGAUAACUCAAUUUGAAUUUGAUGAACUAGAAUUCAAUAGAAGUAAUAUUCGAUUCAAGUGGACUGAAUUUGAAGUUGUUGAGAUACAAUAUGAAUGUAGGUGAACUAUUUUCAAAUCUUGUAGAACUAAUUUUAAAUUCAAUUGAACUCAAUUUCAACUAGUUGAACUAAAAAUUAAAUGUUGGUGAACUACUUUCCAAUUUUGUUGAACUAAUUUUGAAUUCAAGGGAACUGUAUUUGAAUUUGUUGAACUAGAAUUUAUUAGAAGUAAAAUUCGAUUCAAGUGAACUGAAUUUGAAGUUGUGGAAUGACAAUUUGAAUGUAGGUGAACUAGUUUCAAUUCUUGUUGAACUAAUUUUGAAUUCAAUGGAAUUGUAUUAGAGUAUGUUGAACUAGAAUUUAAUAGAAGUUACAUACGAUUCAAGUGAACUAAAUUUGAAGGUGUUGAACUACAAUUUGAAUGUAGGUCAACUAGUUUCAAAUAUUUUCUGAACUAAUUUUAUAUUCAAGGGAACUAAAUUUGAACUGGUUUCAAAUCUUGUUGCACUAAUUUUGAAUUCAAGGGGACUGUAUUUGAAGUUGUCGAACUACAAUAUGAAUGUAUGUGAACUAUUAGAAGUUGUUGAACUACAAUAUGAAUUUAUUAGAACUAAAAUUCGAUGCAACUUAACUAAAUUUGAAGUUGUUGAACUACAAUAUGAAUGUAAGUGAAUUAUUUUCAAAUCUUGUUGAACUAAUUUUGAAUUCAAGCGAACAGAACUUGAACUCGUUGAACUAAAAAAUAAAUGUUAGUGAACUAGUUUCUGAUUUUGUUGAACUAAUUUUGAAUUCAAGGAAACUAAAUUUUAACUAGUUGAACAAGAAUUUAUUAGAUGUGCAAUUUGAUUCAAGUGAACUGAAUUUGAACUGGUCGAACUAAAAAUUAAAUGUUGGUGAACUAAUUUCUAAUUUUGUUGAAGUAAUUUUGAAUACAAGGGAACUGAAUUUGAACUAGUAGAACAAGAAUUUAUUAGAUGUAAAAUUUGAUUCAAGUGAACUGAUUUUGAACUGGUUGAACUAAAAAUUUAAUGCUGGUGAACUAAUUUCCAAUUUUGUUGAACUAAUUUUGAAUUCAAAGGAACUGAAAUUGAACUAGUUGAACAAGAAUUUAUUAGAUAUAAAAUUCGAUUCAAGUGAACUAAAUUUGAACUGGUUGAACUAAAAAAUUAAAUGUUUGGUGAACUAAUUUCGAAUUUUGUUGAACUAAUUUUGAAUUCAAGGGAACUGAAUUUGAACUAGUUGAACAAGAAUUUAUUAGAUGUAAAAUUCGAUUGAAGAGAACUGAAUUUGAACUGGUUGAACUAAAAAUUAAAUGUUGGUGAACUAAUUUUGAAUUCAAGGGAACUAAAUUUGAACUAGUUAAACAAGAAUUUAUUAGAUGUAAAAUUCGAUUCAUGUGAACUGAAUUUUAACUGGUUGAACUAAAAAGUUAUUGUUGGUGAACUAGUUUCCAAUCUUGUUGAACUAAUUUUGAAUUCAAGGGGAACUUUAUUUGAAUUUGAUGAACUAGAAUUUAUGAGAAGUAAAAUUCGAUUCAAGUGAGCUGAAUAUGAAGUUGUUGAACUAUAGUUUGAAUGUAUGUGAAUGUCGGCAAUGCUAGGUCAACACCUAUGGGGAUCAACGUGAUACCCUUGAGAUAGUAGGGCGGGGAAAGACAACGUCAAGAGCAGACCUAACGAUCAACACCCGGCAAGCCUUUUUACCCAGGUUCGGGCCUCUUACGCGUAAAACCCUACGUCGUGCUCGUCUGAUCGUAUUAAGCGUUCUUUUGUCAUUCGUUACAGUGAUGAUAACUGUCUUCUUGGCCAAUCUUCAAAUGGACUAACCCCUUGUGAAUGAGCUAAGGGCCUCCUUUAAUAGGUGAAGGGGUCACCAACAGUGCUCGAUGGUAGGUUCACGAGAUGUUACAGUGAACCUAGAGCGGUGCUUAUCCAUCUAAUGCUGUUAGGUGCAUUAAAUGCACGUCUCGUCCUUGUCAGCGAAGUGUUGGUGAAGACAUGUGUCCAGGUGUUUCGACACCUGGACGCCCNNNNNNNNNNCUGGAACUCGGGGGGCGGUGGCACUAUGGCAAGGGCGGUUGCCUUCUACUGCCUUGCCACGUCAUCCCCGCAAGGGUGCUUGCCGAGGCCUUAGGUCUUCAUCCUCGCAAGGAAGCUUGCACGGGGCUUCGGAUGUCUUCCCGGCGAGGGGGGCUCGCCGGGGCCUUGUGCUUGGUGCGCUCAUCACGUCCAUUAAACAGACGUCUUCCCGGCAAGGCAGGCUUGCCAGGGCCUUGGAUAUCUUGGGGGUGUGUCUUGCCUGGACUCUGCCACGCCCUGCCGUUAGGGGUUCUUCGUGCCCGUGCAUAAGUCUGGGGCACUAAAGACCCCAGUUUUUAGUGCACCGACAGAGAACUAGUUUCAAAUCUUGUUGAACUAAUUUUGAAUUCGAGGGAACUGNNNNNNNNNNUAAUUUCAAGUUGUUGAACUACAAUUUGAAUGUAGGUCAACUAGUUUCAAAUCUUGUGAACUAAUUUUGAAUUCAAGGGGACUGAAUUUGAACUUAUUUCAAAUCCUGUUGAACAAAUUUUUAAUUCAAGGGAACUAGAAUUUGAUGAACUAGAAUUUAUUAGAAGUUGUAGCGACCCGACCUGAAACGGCCAAGUCUGUGGUGUUUCCGUACCAUGCCAAGAUCAUGUUGUUAGACACACAGUACCUCAAUGUAUAUAUAUCUAGAGUUCAAUAUCACAACUUUAUUAAUCGACAUGUGUCCUUGUCAGCUAAGUGUUGGUGAAGACAUGUGUCCAGGUGUUUCGACACCUGGACGCCCCGCUGGCGCAUGCGGAAUGCGGUGGAACUCGGGGGGCGGUGGCACUGUGGCAAGGGCGGUUGCCUUCUACUGCCUUCCACUUCAUCCCCGCAAGGGUGCUUGCCGAGGCCUUAGGUCUUCAUCCUCGCANNNNNNNNNNNNNNNNNNNNNNNNNNNNNNNNNNNNNNNNNNNNNNNNNNNNNNNNNNNNNNNNNNNNNNNNNNNNNNNNNNNNNNNNNNNNNNNNNNNNNNNNNNNNNNNNNNNNNNNNNNNNNNNNNNNGGGGCCUUGGAUAUCUUGGGGGUGUGUCUUGCCUGGACUCUACCACGCCCUGACGUUAGGGGUUCUUCGCGCCCGUGCACAAGUCUGGAGCACUAAAGACACCAGUUUUUAGUGCACCGAUAGUGAACUAGUUUCAAAUCUUGUUGAACUAAUUUUGAAUUCGAGGGAACUGNNNNNNNNNNGUGGAGCACUAAAGACACCAGUUUUUAGUGCACCGACAGUGAACUAGUUUCAAAUCUUGUUGAACUAAUUUUGAAUUAGAGGGAACUGUAUUUGAGUUUGUUGAACUAGAAUUUAAUAUAAGUUAANNNNNNNNNNNNNNNNNNNNNNNNNNNNNNNNNNNNNNNNNNNNNNNNNNNNNNNNNNNNNNNNNNNNNNNNNNNNNNNNNNNNNNNNNNNNNNNNNNNNUCAUAAAAUUGCCAAGAUAAGCGUGAGUGUCGUGGACGGCAUUUCCGUACGGAGACAGAAUGAUUCCACGAUAGUGUAUUGUUGUGGUGUUAGUGGACUCGUGUGCGAGAAAUCAAGUUGUAAAAAUUAUUUAAAAAUGCAAGUUGUCUAGCCACGAGUCAAAUGCUGGCUUUCUGCAUGAAACCCCACAAUACCUUUUUGAUACCUUGCAUGAGUAGUUAGUUAUCCUAAAGUCUUGCUGAGUACCUUCGUACUCAUGUUUGCUUAAUACAUCUUGCAGAGGUUGCUAAUGACCCUAAUGGAGGGUUCUUCGUAGACAUCGACGACGAUGAGUAGCUGGUGUCCCAGCUACGAUCUGGCCCUACGUUGGAUCUGUAGUAUAGUCAGGCCAUGUGCCUUCUAGUUGCCCUGUCUGUACUCAGACAGUUUAAACUCUUCCGCUGGCUUGUAACUGAAUGACUGCUAUUAUGGGUCGUGAGACCCUUAAUGUGUAAUAUUAUGUGUGUGGCUCUUCCGAGCCUCCUAAAUAAAGCUUGUAUGUUUGUGGUUAUGUUGUGAUGCCAUCGAUGUAUCUAUACAUAUCGGUAUGCCAUGCGUACGUGUGUCGUACUUGAUAUGUAUGGGGAUCGAUUACCUAGUCGUAAACUUUAGUAGCACUCCUUACGAGGAAAUGCUCCUUUGUGAUCCAACGAGCCUUGGUAGUUCGCUACUGCUCCGGACACAUUGGUUGACCGGCAUGUGUCCUUCUUAGCUGUUGUGUCUGUCCCCUUUGGGGAAAUGUCACGCGAUGUAAUGGAGUCCUUGUAGCUUGCUACGACUCGUCUACAUUCGUUGUUGACCGACACCGGCUUUGUUGGGUCAUGUAUGCCUGUCCUUGUGCGGUACUACCACUUUGNNNNNNNNNNNNNNNNNNNNNNNNNNNNNNNNNNNNNNNNNNNNNNNNNNNNNNNNNNNNNNNNNNNNNNNNNNNNNNNNNNNNNNNNNNNNNNNNNNNNNNNNNNNNNNNNNNNNNNNNNNNNNNNNNNNNNNNNNNNNNNNNNNNNNNNNNNNNNNNNNNNNNNNNNNNNNNNNNNNNNNNNNNNNNNNNNNNNNNNNNNNNNNACCGUGGAGUUAACCGUGGAGUUAACCGUGCGUGAGACCGCAAAGGGAUGCGAUGUGUUACGGGCUGGAUUCCUAUGGCUUAGGAUCGGGGUCCCGACAAUUUAUUAGAAGUUGUAGCGACCCGACCUGAAACGGCCAAGUCUGUGGUGUUUCCGUACCAUGCCAAGAUCAUGUUGUUACACACACAGUACCUCAAUGUAUAUAUAUCGAGAGUUCAAUAUCACAACUUUAUUAAUCAGUUCUCAUAUCGAGUACUUUAUUACAAUAAUGAUUACAAUAAAGUGGCUGAAGGCCAACUCAUGAGAUAACUAAACGAAGACUAGAGGAAGCUUCAAAAGUAGUUGAGUCCAUGUGACUCCAGGGCAUAUCACCGAGCGUAGACCAUGACCUCACUCCUGGUCGGAAAAGUACUCUGCAACAUGACACGUUGUAGCCGUCUAAGUCAGCAUAUUGAAUAUGCCGGCAAGUCACAAAAGAGAGGGGUGAAAAAGUAUCAUCUAUACUAUAUGCAUAUAUGGCAGCCGGGGUUGUAAGUUCUUAGCGGAAAGCAAAGUUUUCUGCUACAACACGAGAGGGAUAAAAGCAAAAUAUUACUACAAUGGUGGUUGUUAAUGAUAUGGUUCCACCAACCAAUUCUCAUACCCAAGUUGUCAAUAAUACCCACAUCAUUAAUAUUAUUUGUGUUGAGAAUUCAAGAUAGUUUCAGUUCCUUCGGCUCAAGUUGUCCAUGACCGUGGACACAGCUAAUCGAUUAGGUUAGGGUACUCUACAGAUUUUUGCACACGUUCCCCACAAGAUUUGAUCGCCUCCAUUAGAGUCCUCGCACUUCAGGGUGUUUGAGAACCGGAUGAUCAAAACAUGGUCUUUCAACGGGUUCCUCUGAGCCUCUGUCGGUGCCCAUCCAAUCCUACCAUUCUUCUACAUCUCGUAGCACCGCUCGUCCAGAGUCACCACGUUGUCCAACCAAGCCAGAGCCCAUAAUGACUUGUGGCUGUGCAGGUAAGCCUUGGGUCUUGAAGCAUCCAUCCAUCUCUUCGUGCGUGGGUGAAGCUUUCUGCAAGAUGUCAUGGCGCUUCUCCAUGCAUCCCAGGUUCUCCGCUAGUUUAUCCCAGGGAGCCCAUCUGAACCGUCCUUCACCCAGAGGUAUAUUGCAUCACGANNNNNNNNNNCCGGUCUUGAUUAUUAAAAUUCUCACAACACUCGUGAUAAACACUCAACCAUAAACCCGUCUACUAAGGCAUAGCAAAAUAAAAUUGAUCGUCCCGGGCCAAGUAACAAGGGUGAUGGGUGCCUACCACAUGAUACUACAUCAAGAUCCAAAUUUCCCAGUACCUACUUUACAUGCAAUUGGGUGAAGAAGGUAGAACUACAAUGCAUAUAAAACAUAGGUAAAGACAUGAUCAACGUGACUUGCUUUCUUGACGAUUAUCGAACUCGAGCGCGUCUAGAUAACAAGCUUCGCACUCUGGAUAAUAUAACGAAACAAAUUUUCACACAAUAAGCAUCACAAUAACAAGUAAUCAAAAUAAAACAACAAACGAAAAGUAACUAUAACAUGUGAGAGGAAAAAAUUGUCUUUCAAGAACCAAAACAGAAUCUGUUUUGUUAAAAACCCCAAGAUAAAAUAUCCUAAAAAUUCUGAAAUUUAACCUACUGAUAAAUAAGAUCACUAGUGAUGAGUAUUAAAAAAGAAUCAAUUCAAAAUCUAUUUUUAAACUCCAGAUAUUAACAAAACAAGUUUAACAGCAAAUCUGUUUAAAUUCAAAAUUUACAUUUUCAAACAUGGACUAAUUUGAUAUCUACAGAAACUAAAUAAAAUUUGUGACCCAAUGCAAAAAGAAUCAUCUCAAUUGAAGUUAUAGAUUAAAAGUUAUAAGCAAUCUAAAACAAGUUCAAAUCUGUUUCAGAAAUUAAAAACAGAAAAGAAUAAAAAUAAAGGGGUGACGUGGCAGGGUGUGAUUGGCUGAAGAUUGUGCGCAUUUUAGGCUAUCUAACGAAUGGCCGCAAUAUAAGAAAAACCCUUCGGUUUUAUAAUCUAACUAACAAAGAACCGGUGGUUUAUACUAACUAACCGAAGAGGUAAGCAGAACUAAGGGUGGGAAGAAACAAGAGAGAGAGGGAGAGCCUUACCGUUGACAGAGAAGCUCCGGCGAUGGCCGGUCGUGGUGGAGGCGGCGAGGGGAGGGCGCUCCGGCAAGGAAACGACGGCGGGGGAGGGGGGUCCGAAGGAGAGAAUGGCGGCGGGGACCCUGGUGGCGUCGGGGGUGGCCAAGCGACGAGGCGCUCCUGGAGCGAGGUCCUGGCAGGGAACCGACUAGGUGUGGGGCGAGGAGAGGGGGCUUUCUCUAGGGGAACAUAACGAGGAGGGCGUGGGGGUUCUUAUAGGGGCGAUGGGAGGUGCAGGGAGGCAAGAAAUGUCGCGAAUCUGGAAGGGGAUCGGCGCCCUGGUGAUUGCCUGGAAGCUCUCGUGCCUCGGAUGGAAGGCGCUGGAGGUGGAAGACGGUAGGAAUCGGGCUAGAUCAUUUUUUUUCUUAAUGGGCUCGGGAUAUUUUCCUAAUAAAAGAGAUUCGGUUUCCUAUUUAUUAAAAAUAGGAAAGAAAACCCGAAAAGGAAUUAAAUCCUUUUUCAAAAAAUAGGUAUUAUAUAUCAAAAUUCUUAGAAAAAUUCCCAUGACGUGGGCAUUUUAUUUUUCACAAAAUAAAAACUUCUAUUUAUUUUGGGGUGUCAUGUUACCGCCUCUCCUUCUUGCUUGGCAAGAAUAUUGUGAGAAAGAAUUUUGUGAUUGAAAUCUUGUGCCAAAAUAAUAUUCAAAUCCAAAACCAAAGGGAAAUUCGAAUGUCACAUUCACUGAAAUAAAAUGCAUAGAUGAUUAGCUACAAUUGUAAAACAUUCCAAAUAGGAAAUUUGCAAUGUUACAAACCUACCCACCUUAAAAUGAAUCUCACCCUCGAGAUUCGGGUUGGCUAGAAAAUAGGUGCUGGUGGUCUUGACGAGGAUCUUCUUCCCGUUCCCAGGUGGCUUCUUGCUCGGUGUGAUGACUCCAUAAUACCUUGCAAAACUUGAUGAUCUUGCUGCGGGUAACUCUGUUGGCAGUCUCGAGAGUCCUAACGGGUUUCACCUCGUAAGUCAGAUCGCUGUCAAGCUGUAUGGCCUCUAGGUGCACUGUGUCUCUCAACAGAAUAUUAGCCAUCUCAGCAUGGCAUUUCUUCAACUGGGAAACAUGGAAAACAUCAUGAACUCCGGACAAUCCUUCCGGAAAUUCUAGCUUGUAUGCAACUUCCCCCCUACGUUCAAGAAUUUUGUAGGGGCCAAUGAAUCUGGGUGCUAACUUUCCUUUUAAACCAAAUCUGGGUGCUAGCUUGUAUGCUCGGUUCUCCCACUCCGUAUGUUACUUCCUUGCGUUUGCUAUCAGCAUAACUCUUCUGUCUGGACUGAGCUAUCUUGAGUCGGUCACAAAUCAGCUUGACCUUCUCUUCAGAAUCUCGAAUAAGGUCGGGACCAAAAAGUUUUCGGUCUCCAACACCAUCCCACAUCAAUGGAGUUCUGCACCUCCUUCCACAUAAAGCUUCGAAAGGGGCCAUCUUCAGACUGGUCUGAUAGCUAUUGUUGUAUGAGAACUCGGCGUAAGGUAAAUUGUCAUCCCAGCUAGACCCAUAGUCUAGCGCGCAAGCUCUCAACAUGUCCUCCAGAAUCUGAUUGACUCUCUCGGUCUAUCCAUCGGUCUGUGGGUGAAAAGUUGUACUGAAUUCCAAUCUCAUUCCCAAGGUUUCGUGUAGUUGGUGCCAAAACUUUGACGUUAAUUGAGUUGCUCUAUCUAACAUGAUACUAUUCGGAACUCCAUGCACACAUACGAUCCUGUUCAUAUAUAUCUUGGCCAGCUUAGCACUCGUGUAGGUAGUCUUCACGGGAAUGAAGUGAGCUACCUUGGUCAAACGAUCGACCACUACCCAGAUAGAAUCAUAACCUGAACAGGUCCUGGGUAAUCCUAUGAUGAAGUCCAUACCAAGCUUCUCCCAUUUCCACUCGGGUAUCAGCAAAGGUUGAAGUAAUCCUGAUGGCUUCUGAUGCUCGGCCUUUACUCGCUGACAAACAUCGCAAAUUGCUACAAACUCGACGAUAUCCUUCUUCAUUCCUGUCCACCUGAAACCUUCCUUUAAGUCCAGAUACAUCUUGGUGUUUCCUGGAUGUAUCAAGUAUGGGGAAUCGUGGGCUUCGAGAAGUAUCAACUUCAUGAGUUCAGGAUCAUUGGGCACAUAGAUACGGUCCUCAAACCAUAUAGUUCCAUGUUCAUCCUCACGAAAACCUUUAGCCUUCCCGUCAUUCUUUCUUUGCUUUAUCUAAGCUAUCUCCUUGUCUGACUUCUGUUCUUCACGAAUUUUUCCGGUCAAGGUGGACUCAAUCUCCAGCAUGGCUACAAAUCCUCUUGGAACUAUCUCCAACUUGAGCUCUCUAAGAUCGUCGGCUAACUCCUGGGAUAAUCCUCCUGCUAUGAGCGUGUUCACAUAACUCUCACGGCUCAAGCGAUCUACUACAACAUUUUCCUUCCCUACGUGAUAAUGUAAUCUCAUGUCAUACUCCUUGAUCAACUCUAGCCAUCUCCUCUAUAUGAGGUUCAACUCCUUCUGCGUGAAAAUAUAUUUCAUGCUCUUGUGAUCAAUGUAGAUAUCACAGCUUUUUCCGAUAAGGAAAUGUCUCUAGGUCUUCAGAGCGUGCACUACGGCUGCUAACUCCAAAUCAUGUGUGGCAUAAUUCAACUCAUGAGCUCUGAGCUGUCUGGAUGCAUAGGCUACAACUUUUCCUUCUUGCAUGAGUACUCCUCCAAGUCCUUGACGUGAUGCGUCACAAUACACCUGGAAAUCCUUCCGAAUAUUCGGCAAUAUGAGCACUGGGGCUGUAACCAAACGUUUCUUCAACUCUUGGAAACUGGCUUCACAUUCCUCGGUCGAAUUAUACUUGGACUCCUUCUUCAACAACUCUGUCAUGGGCUUGCAAUCUUCGAGAAGUUCUUGAUAAACCUCCGGUAAUAUCCGGCAAGUCCGAGAAAACUGCGGAUCUCCUUAACUGAGGUGGGUUCUAACCAUUCGGUGAGUGCUGCAACCUUGGCUGGAUCCACUGCUAUCCCGUCUCCGGAAAUAAUAUGUCCGAGGAAUCCGACUUCCUUCAACCAAAAUUCACAUUUAAUGAACUUCGCAUACAACUGAUGCUCUCGAGGCUUCUCCAAAACUAACCGCAAGUGUUCCUUGUGUUUUUCCUCGUUCUUGGAGAAUAUCAGUGUGUCAUCAAUGAACACCACGACAAACUUGUCCAGAUAUUCCAUAAAUACCUUGUUCAUCAUACUCAUAAAAUAUGCAGGAGCAUUGGUCAAUCCGAAUGACAUGACUGUGUACUCAUAUAGAUCAUACCUCGUGGUGAAGGUUGUCUUGGGUAUAUCCUCUUCAUGGAUUUUCAACUAAUGAUACCCUGAUCGAAGAUCGUUCUUGGAGAACAUUCGGGCUCCAACUAACUGGUCAAACAAAUCGUUGAUCAUCGGCAAGGGAUACUUGUUCUUGAUGGUCGCCUCGUUCAAUGCACGAUAAUCGACUACCAUUCUUAAGGAUUUAUCCUUCUUCUCAACCAAGAUAACUGGGGCUCCCCAAGGUGACGAACUUGGGUGAGUAUACCCUUUGUCAAGUAACUCCUUGAUAUGCUUCUUGAUUUCUUCUAAAUCAUUUGCGGGCAUCCGAUAGGGUCUCUUGGAUAUUGUGGUUGUUCUUGGUAAUAACUCAAUCAGAAAAUCAAUCUCCCUAUCUGGUCGCAGGACUGGCAAUUCCUCAGGGAAUACAUCUGGAAAGUCUUGUCCGACCGGCACUUCCUCCUGAACAACUCCCAUGAGAGAUUUCACCCGCUUACUCUGUGAUGGGCGUUGGGAAACGUACUUAAUCCGUUUUUUCUCUGGGGUGGUGAGCAAAAUAGACUUAAGGGCACAAUCAAUGUUUCCUUCAUACUUGGUCAACCAAUCCAUGCCUAAGAUUACAUCCAAUCCCUGCGACUCUAAUAUGAUGAGGUCGGUCGGAAAUUUAUGAUUUCCGAUGUUGAGGCUCAAAGCAUGGCAUCCUAUCCCGGCUGUCAUCAUGCCCCCUGGGGAACUGACUUUAAUGGGCUGACUGAGGGUUCUAGUUGGUAAACUAUACUUUUCGACAACUACCCUUGAUAUGAAUGAAUGUGUUGCACCAGAAUCAAAAAUUACCAGUACUGGACGUGAAUUUAGCAAAAACUUACCAACCACCAUAUCAGGGUGAUCAUAGACCUCUUCAACAUCAAUGUGGUUCACCUGAGCUCGGGGAAAAGGAUUGGGCUUCCUUGCUGCUGAGUAACCAUUGCUGUUUCCAUUUCCCUGCUUGUUCUGAGGACAGUCAGUGGCAUAGUGUCCCGUCUUGUGGCACUUGAAGCAGGUGAUAUGGUUCAGAUCCUUCUGAGCUAUAGCAGGGUGGUGCUGAGUGCCAUUACCUCCAUUGCCAUUCUUGAAGUUGUCGUCGUUGCGGUUAUUCCCAUUUCCUCCAUGGUUGUGGCCUCCAUGGUUGUGCACUGGAUGGUUAUGCUGGAUGUGUCCUCCAAACUUAUCGGAACCUGCUCCGGUAUUCCCUGGAUAGGGGGUGUAACGGGGCUUCUGCUGAACUCCAGAAUUGAACUUCCCAUGUCCAUACUUCCGUUUGCGGUUCUCCAUUUGCUGAUGUUUCCCCUCCAAGAUGAGGGCCUUAUCUACCAGCUCCUGGUAGUUGUUGAAGUUGGCCACAGUGAGUUGAAUGCUCAACUCAUCACUGAGUCCUUCCAUGAACUUAUCCUGCUUGGCAACAUCAUCGGCCACAUCUCCAGGUGCAUAUUGGGCGAGCAUGCUGAAUUCAUCAACAUACUGAGCCACCGAGCGAUUUCCCUGGCGUAAGUUGUGAAACUCACGCUUCUUCAGACUCAUGGCUCCAGCUGAGACAUGAGCGGUGCGGAAGGCUUGCUUGAAAUGCUCCCAAGUCACACCAGCAAUGGGGUAUGUGGUGGUGUAGUUCUCCCACCAUGCAGCUGCGGGGCCUUCAAGUUGAUGCGCGGCAAAGUGCACCUUCUCAGCUUCAGUACAUCCAGCAGUGAUUAGUUCCCUCUCCAUCUUGCGGAGUCAAUCAUCUGCCACAAUGGGCUCAACGCUGCUGGAGUAAUUCGGAGGGUUCAACCUCAAAAAGCGGGUGAGAUUGUCGGCCUCGGGUGGAUGAUGGUUGUUGUUAUUGUUCUGGUUCUGAAUGAUCAAUUGCAUCAGGGCAUUCUGUUGUUUGAUCAACUGAGUGAGUUCCGGCGGGAAGUUGGAAGCAGGGUCACGUCUUGGAGGCAUCUGGUGUUUGUAGAGGGAUGGCAUUAGCAUAGAACAUGGGUCUAAAUAGAAAAUACACUACCCAUAUGACAUGCAAUAAACAAUUUUCACACCACACAUUCAUUCAUUUAUCACCUCAAAAGGUUCAAACACGGGUUUCUAAACAUCGGCCUAAACGUUUAACGAUAAGCUAAAUUGGUGGACUUGUCUAUGUGUCCUCCUCAGAAAAGCAUGGUGGUGGGUCCGUCGAUAGAGCUUGCUUCGUAGUCCUCCUCAUUGCUAAUCAAGGGGUCUACAUCUUCUUCAGGGUGAAGGUUUUCACCCAUGUCCAAUUCUACUUCCAGAUAUGGGACACGAGCCUUGAGCUUAUCGAUCCUCUCCAGGAAGUCCUUCACGUCCAAUUCGUGCUCGUAGUGGGCUUCUCGGGCUUCGUCUUCGAAGUUGAGUUCGCGGAGUGACAGAUGCUUGAUCUUCCUUGUGUCCUGGAUUACACGAAGCUCCAGAGUCCCGAUGUGUGUCUCCAAGGUCUGGGAAUAGGACAGGAGAGCGUCUUUAGUCUUGGUCGUGAUGAUGUCUCCAUCAGGUCCUCUUCGGGAGACCGUGAAUAGGUCCGGUGAAAUGGGGCAGCCUCUGUGCACAAUGAACUGCCAUGACCCUUCCGAGAAUCGAGCUAGGUGCGAUGAACUUGAAGUCCACAGGUUCGGUGUGCGGCUCAAAAGUUCUUCUGGGGAUGUGCACCUCAAUCCUGUAGCGUGCAUGUGCCGGGUAAGACGAGGUAGGCUUUCCGGUGAUGGUUUGCAGAUAAAUCCUUAAGUCCUUGGUGAUCUGCAUCAACUCCUUUCCGAAGGGCAUUGUGGUGUCGGGCUGACAAAACUCCGUGACCUUAACUGGGAUGAAGGUGGCCAUCUAGAAAAUAUUGGAAGAUUGGAGAGAAGUCAGAAAUGAGCAGCAGAGAAAUAUAGAAGAUAUAUAGAUAUAAGAAAAUAGUUUUCUUCCUAAGGCCUUUCCGAUCCUAGAGGUUACGUCCUACGGUCAGCGUGUGCUCUGAUACCGUAUAUGUAGCGACCUGACCUGAAACGGCCAAGUCUCUGGUGUUUCCGUACCAUCCCAAGAUCAUGUUGGUACACACACAGUACAUCAAUGUAUAUAUCGAGAGUUCGAUCACACAACUUUAUGAAUUGGAUCUCAUAUCGAGUACUUUAUUACAACAAUGAUUACAAUAAAGUGGCUGAAGGCCAACUCAUGAGAUAACUAAACAAAGACUAGCGGAAGCUUCAAAAGUAGUUGAGUCCAUGUGACUCUAGGGCAUAUCACCGAGCGUAGACCGUGAUCUCACUCCUGGUCGGAAAAGUACUUUGCAACAUGACACGUUGCAGCCGUGUAGGUAAGAAUAUUGAAUAUGCCGGCAAGUCACAAAAGAGAGGGGUGAAAAAGUAUCAUAUAUACUAUAUGCAUAUAUGGCAGGUGGGGCUGUAAGUUUAUAGCGGAAAGCAAAGUUUUCUCUUACAACAAGAGAGGGCUAAAAGCAAAACAUUACUACAAUGUUGGUUGUUAAUGAGAUGGUUCCACCAACCAUUUCUCAUACCCAAGUUGUCAAUAAUACCCACAUCAUUAAUAUUAUUUGUGUUGAGAAUUCGAGAUAGUUUCAGUUCCUUCGGCUCAAGUUGUCCAUGACCGUGGACACGGCUAAUCGAUUAGGCUAGGGUGCUCUGUAGAGUUUUGCAGACGUUCCCCACAAGAUUUGAUCGCCUCCGUUGGAGUCCUCGCAUUUCAAGGUGUUUGAGAACUGAAUGAUCAAAACAUGGUCUUUCAACGGGUUCCUCCGAGCCUCUGUCGGUGCCCAUCCAAUCCUACCGUUCUUCUACAUCUCGAAGCACCGCCCGUCCAGAGUCACCACAUUGUCCAACCAAGCCAGAGCCCAUAAUGACUUGUGACUGUGCAGGUAAGCCUUGGGUCUUGAAGCAUCCAUCCAUCUCUUCGUGCCUGGGUGAAGCUUUCCGCAAGAUGACAUGGCGCUUCUCCAUGCAUCCCAGGUCCUCCGCCGGUUUAUCCAGGGGAGCCCAUCUGAACCGUCCUUCACCCAGAGGUAUAUUGCAUCACGAAGUCUCGAAAGUCUUGGAAUAUUCGGUCUUGAUUAUUAAAAUUCCCACAACGUGAUAAACACUCAACCAUAACCCCGUCUACUAAGGAAUAGCAAAAUAAAUUUAUCGUCCCGGGCCAAGUAACAAGGGUGAGGGGUGCGUACCACAUGAUACUACAUCAAUAUCCAAAUUUCCGACUACCUACUUUGCAUGAAAUUGGGUGAAGAAGGUAGAACUACAAUGCAUAUAAAACAUAGGUAAAAACAUGAUCAACGUGACUUGCCUUGUUGACGAUUGUCGAACUCGAGCGCGUCUAGAUAACAAGCUUCGCACUACGGAUAAUCUAACGAAACAAAAUUUCACAUAAUAAGCAUCACAAUAACAAGUAAUCAAAAUAAAACAACAAACAAAAAGUAACUAUAACAUGUGAGAGGAAAAAAUUGUCUUUGAAGAACCAAAACAGAAUCUGUUUUGUUGAAAACGCCAAGAUAAAAAAUAUCCUAAAAAUUCUGAAAUUUAACCUACUGAUAAAUAAGAUCACUAGUGAUCAGUAGCAAAAAGAAUCAAUUAAAAUAUAUUUUUAAACUCCAGAUAUUAACAAAACAAUAUUUAAAGAAAAUUUGUUUAAAUUCAAAUUUUACAUUUUCAAACAUCCACGAACUUUAUAUCUUCAGAAACUACAUAAAAUUUGUGAUGCAAUGCAAAAAGAAUCACCUCAAUUGGAGUUAUAGAUUAAAAGUUAUAACCAAUCUAAAUACAGGUUCAAAUCUGUUUCAGAAAUUAAAAACGGAGAAGUAUAAAAAUAAAAAGGCGAUGUGGCAGGCUAUGAUUGGCUGAAGAUCGUGCGUGUUUUAGGCUAUCUAACGGACGGCCGCAAUAUAAGAAAAACCCUUUGGUUUUAUAAUCUAACUAACAGAGAACCGGUGGUUUAUUCUAACUAACCGAAGAGGUAAGGAGAUCUAAUCUCAGCCAUAUAUUUAAGAUCUAAGGGUGGGAAGAAAUAAGGGAGAGAGGAAGAGCCUUACCGUUGACAGAGAAGCUCCGGCGAUUGCCGGUCGUGGUGGAGGCGGCGAGGGGAGGGCGCUCCGGCGAGGAAACGGCGGCGGGGGAGGUGGAUCCGGCGGAGAGAGUGGCGGCGGGGGCCCUGGUGGCGUCGGGCGAGGAGAGGGGGCGUUCUCUAGGGGAACAGAACAAGGAGGGCGUGCGGGUUCUUAUAGGGGCGAUGGGAGGUGCAGGGAGGCAAGAAAUCUCGCGAAUCCGGAAGGGGAUCGACGUCCUGGUGGUUGCGUGGAAGCUCUUGUGCAUGGGAUGGAAGGCGCUAGACGUGGAAGAUGGUAGGAAUCGGGUCGGAUCAUUUUUUUUUCUUAAUGGGCUCGGGAUAUUUUCCUAAUAAAAGAGAUCCAGUUUCCUAUUUAUUAACAACAAGAAAGAAACCCCGAAAAGGAAUUAAAUCCUUUUUCAAAAAAUAGGUACUAUACAUCAAAAUUCUCAAAAAACAAUUUCCCACCAUAUGGGCAUUUUACUUUUCACAAAAUAAAAACAUCAUAAUUUUUUUUUUUAAAUCCAAAUAAAAUCCAAAUUUUGCCUUUAAAUUUUUUGGCACUAUUUUCUUCUGACUUCUAUUUAUUUUGGGGUGUCAUGUUACCUCCACUCCUUUUUGCUUGGCAAGAAUAUUGUCAGAAAGAAUUUUGUGAUUGAAAUCUUGUGCCAAAAUAAUAUUCAAAUCCAAAACCAAAGGGAAAUUCAAAUGUCACAUUCAUUCAAAUAAAAUGCAUAGAUGCUUCGCUAUAAUUGUAAAACAUUCCACAUAGGAAAUUUAGGAUGUUACAGAAGUGAAAUUCGAGUCAAGUGAAUUGAAUUUGAAGUUGUUGAACUACAAGAUAAAUGUAGGUGAACUAUUUUCAAAUCUUGUUGAAGUAAUUUUGAACUCAAUUUAACUGAAUUUGAAUUGGUUGAACUAAGUAUUAAAUAUGGUGAACUAGUUUCCAAUUUUGUUGAACUAAUUUUGAAUUCAAGGGAACUAAAUUUGAACCAGUUGAACAAGAAUUUAUUAGAUGUAAAAUUCGAUUCAAGUGAACUGAAUUUGAACUGGUUGAACUAAAAAAUUAAUGGUGGUGAACUAGUUUCCAAUCUUGUUCAACUAAUUUUAAAUUCAAGGGAACUCUAUUUGAAUUUGAUGAACUAGAAUUUAUUAGAAGUAAAAUUGGAUUCAAGUGAACUUAAUUUUAAGUUGUUGAACUACAAUUUGAAUGUAGGUACCUAGUUUCAAAUCUUGUUGAGCUAAUUUUGAAUUCAAGGAACUGUAUUUGAAUUUGAUGAACUAGAAUUUAUUAAAAGAAAUUUUGAUUCAAGUGAACUAAAUUUGCACGUGUUGAAUUACAAUUUGAAUGUAGGUGAACUAGUUUCAAGUCUUGUUGAACUAAUUUUGAAUUUAAGAGAAUUGAGUUUGAAUUGGUUCCAAAUCUUGUUGAACUAAUUUUGAAUUCAAGGGAACUGUAUUUGAAUUUGAUGAACUAGAAUUUUUGACGAGUAAAAUUCGAUUCAAGUAAACUGAAAUUGAAGUUGUUGAACUACCAUAUGAAUGUAGGUGAACUAUUUUGAGUUUUGUUGAAGUAAUUAUGAAUUCAACUGAACUGAAUUUGAACUGGUUGAACUAAAAAUUAAAUGUUGGUGAACUAGUUUCCAAUUUUGUUGAACUAAUUUUGAAUUCAAGGGAACUGAAUUUGAACUAGUUGAACAGGAAUUUAUUAGAUGUAAAAUUCGAUUCAACUGAACUGAAUUUGAACUGGUCGAACUAAAAUUUUAAUGUUGGUGAACUAGUUUCCGAUCUUGAUGAACUAGUUUUGAAUUCAAAGGAAAUUUAUUUGAAUUUGAUGAACUAGAAUUUAAUAAAAAUUUAAUUCGAUUCAAGUGAACUAAAUUCAAGGAAUUGUAUUUGGUUUUGAUGAACUAGAAUUUAUUAAAAGUAAAUUUUGAUUUAAGUGAACUAAAUUUGAAUUUGUUGAACUACAAUUUGAAUGUAGCUAGACUAGUUUCAAAUCUUGUUGAACUAAUUUUGAAUUCAAAGGAACUGAAUUUGAACUAGUAUCAAAUCUUGUUGAACUAAUUUUGAGUUCAAUUGAACUGUAUUUGAAUUUGAUGAACUAUAAUUUAUUAGAAGUAAAAUUCGAUUCAAAUGAACUAAAUUUGAAGUUGUUGAACUACAAUAGGAAUGUAGGUGAACUAUUUUCAAAUCUUGUUGAACUAAUUUUGAAUUCAACUAAACUGAAUUUGAACUGGUUGAACUAAAAAUUAAAUGUUGGUGCACUAUUUUCCAAUUUUGUUGAACUAAUUUUGAAUUUAAGGGAACUGAAUUUGAACUAGUUGAACAAGAAUUUAUUAGAUGUAAANNNNNNNNNNCGAUUGAACUGAAUUUGAAGAGGUUGAACUAAAAAUUUAAUGCUCGUGAACUAGUUUCCAAUCUUGUUGAACCAAUGUUGAAUUCAAGGAAUUGUAUUUGAACUUGCUCAACUAGAAUUUAUUAAAAGUAAAAUUUGAUAUAAGUGAUGUGAAUUUGAAGUUAUUGAACUAUAAUUUGAAUGAUGUGAACUAGUUUCAAAUCUAGUUGAACUAAUUUUGAAUUCAAAGGAACUGAAUUUGAAUUUGAUGAACUAGAAUUUAUUAGAAGAAAAAUUCGAUUCAAGUGAACUGAAUUCGAAGCUGAUGAAUAUGAAUGUAGGUGAACUUUUUUCAAAUCAUGUAGAACUAAUUUUGAAUUCAACUGAACUGAAUUUGAACUAGUUGAACUAAAAAUUAAAUGUUGGUGAACUAGUUUCCAAUUUUGUUGAAAUAAUUUUGAAUUCAAGGGAACUUUAUUUGAAUUUGAUGAACUAGAAUUUAUUACAAGUAAAAUUCGAUUCAAGUGAACUGAAUUGGAAGUUGUGGAAAUACAAUUUGAAUAUAGGUGAACUAGCUUCAAUUCUUGUUGAACUAGUUUUGAAUUGAAGGGAACUAAAUUUGUACUAGUUUCAAAUCUUGUUGAACUAAUAUUUAAUUCAAGGGAACUGUAUUUGAAUUUGAUGAACUAGAAUUUAUUAGAANNNNNNNNNNUAUACGAUUCAAGGGAACUGAAUUUGAACUAGUUGAACUAAAAAUUAAAUGUUGGUGAACUAAUUUCCAAUCUUGUUGAACUAAAUUUGAAUUCAAGGGAACUGUAUUUGAAUUUGAUGAAAUAGAAUUUAUGAGAUAUAAAAUUUGAUUCAAGUGAGCUGAAUUUGAAGUUGUUAAACUACAAUUUGAAUGUAGGUGAACUAGUUUCAAAUCUUGUUGAACUAAUUUUGAAUUCAAGGGAAUUGUAUUUGAGUUUGUUGAACUAGAAUUUUAUAAAAGUUAAAUUCGAUUCAAGUGAAAUGAAUUCAAGAAAUUGUAUUUGAAUUUGAUGAACUAGAAUUUAUUAAAAGUAAAAUUUGAUUCAAGUGAACUGAAUUUGAAGUUGUUGAACUACAAUUUGAAUGUAGGUGAACUAGUUUCAAAUCUUGUUGAACUAAUUUGAAUUCAAGGGGACUGAAUUUGAACUCGUUUCAAAUCUUAUCGAACUAAUUUGUCACUCCCUCGAUCCCUAACUAGGGUUUAGUAUUUGUGCUCAUGUCUUCUUCCAUUGCAUUCAAGAAUUUGAANNNNNNNNNNAGAUCCUAUCUGUGAAGUGGACCACAAAACGCUUGAUCUCCAAGAUAACCUUUCAUACCGAGAAUACCCUGUGCGUAUUCUUGAUCAAGCUGAGCGUACCACUCGACGUCGAAAGCUCAAUUUUCUUAAAGUUCAAUGGUCAAAUCAUUCCGAAAAGGAGGCAACAUGGGAAAGAGAGGAUCGUCUCCAACUUGAGUAUCCCGCGCUAUUCCCGACGACUUCCAAAUCUCGGGACGAGAUUCUUUUGAGUGGGGGUGAGUUGUCACAUCCCUGGAUCCCUAACUAGGUUUUAGUAUUUGUGCUCAUGUCUUCUUCCAUUGCAUUCAAGAAUUUGAAACAAACUCCAAAGAAGUGGUGCAACUUAAACCAAAAACCCUAGCCACUUCUAAUUCAAGGAAAUUAAAAUCUUGCCAAAAUCAAUGAACCCAAAAUGGCCUUCUUAAAAGUUCAAUAUUUCUGAUAAAUAUUGAAAACAAUUUAUCAGGGGAGAAAACUACUUUCAAAUCACUUUUGGCAUUUUAUUUAAAACUAGCAAGUCCCUGAAUUCAAACUUAUAUUUGAAUUCAAAAAUAUAUAAGCUUUCAAAAAUGCUGAAAACUUUAUGGGUGAUUGGAAAUAUUCCAACUAACACCCCAGCAUUUUUCAAACUUUUUUUAGUUUUGAUUUAAUGCAAAAAAAUAAAUAGCAACAGGUAUCAACAAAUAAAACAGAAACAGAAAAAUAGAAAAGUUCUAUCCUACGCUCACCUUGGCCCGGCCCACCUCCACGCUUGUCUUCUUCCUCCUCGCCAGUGUGCAGCAGGAGGUGGCGCCGCGUUCUCCGGCGCGCCCGCGCAGCUGCACGCCUGCCUGCCUCGCCUGAUGCGCUGGAGGGUGGAGAUAAACCUCCCCGCAGACGUUCCCGAGCUCCCCCCCUCCUCAUUCUUCCCCUGCUCUCUCUCCUCCCGGCCGCCAUUGGAGCCCGAGCAGAGCUCGAGCUCGCCGUCGCUCUGGCCUGCCUCCUUCCCUCGUGAGCCGCGCACAAGAACCGCCAGGGUCCCCUGAAGCUUCCAAUCCACGAGCUCGACGCCGAGACGCAGUGAAACACCGAGAAGCCGCCUUCUUCCUCCUCGGAUCGCCGACGUUCAUCGCCNNNNNNNNNNNNNNNNNNNNNNNNNNNNNNNNNNNNNNNNNNNNNNNNNNNNNNNNNNNNNNNNNNCAACGAGAAGUCGCCUUCUUCCUCCUCGGAUCGCCGACGUUCAUCGUCGUCGUUCUUCCUCCUUAGGCCUCGCCCGAGCCUACUUUCAACGCCUCUGCACUCCUCGUGAGCUCAGGAUCCUUUCCCCUCUAUUUCCCCUCUCGAUUCCGAGGCCUAGCCCAUGAUUCCACCGAAGCCCGACGAUGACCGCCGCGGUAGCUCGUCGCCGGUGGCUCUCCGGUGAUCGGCUCGUUGAUCUGAGGCUUGCAAACGCUUUAGCACAUCGCGUAGAUGUCGUAGGAGCCUAGCCCCGCGCGUGAUGCCCCUGUUUCGAUGACCCCGAUCACGCCCGAUCUUCGUACGCCGCCAAGCUCGUCGCCGGUAUCAUCUCCGGGCAGAUCAGCCCCGGUUCUAUGCAGAAAUGGAACGACGGGUGAACGCUGGUCAGUGUGAUGCCUUCUGCCGUGUAAAUGGUCGUCAGAAUGGGAUUUCCGAGCCCCUCUGCCGUUCUGGUGGUCGCCGGAGGCUCACCGCCGGCGAGGACGACCUCGCCGCCGGUGGAUCUGACCCCCCUGAGCCUUUGACAGGUGGGGCCAGCCCCUGGUUAAUUAAGUUUAGGAUUAGUAAAAAUAAUUAAUUAAAUAAAAACAUAAACAGUCACUGACAUGUGGGUCCAGCCCUGAUAAUUAAUCUAUUAAGUGAAAUUUAAACUAAAAACUGGCUAGAGUCACUGACCAGUGGGUCCCACUGGUCAGGUUUGACUUUCAACGGCCAGUUNNNNNNNNNNNNNNNNNNNNNNNNNNNNNNNNNNNNNNNNNNNNNNNNNNNNNNNNNNNNNNNNNNNNNNNNNNNNNNNNNNNNNNNNNNNNNNNNNNNNACGCCUGAGUUGCGAGACGUGGAAAACAUCAUGAACCUUGGAAAGAUGCGGAGGAAGUUCCAACUGGUAGGUAACUUCUCCUCGUUUGGCAAGAAUGCGAAAAGGACCAAUGUAACGAGGAGACAACUUGCCCUUGAUACCGAAUCGAUGGGUACCCUUCAAAGGUGUAACCCAAAGGUAAGCCUUCUCGUCAACUUCAAAGGUCACAGCCUUAUGAUGACGAUCAUAUUGGCUCUUUUGACGAGACUGGGCUGUUUUCAACUUUUCACGAAUAAUGCGAACCUGCUCUUCUGCAUCCUGGAUCAUAUCCGGGCCAAAGAGUUGCCUCUCUCCGGUUUCUGACCAAUUAAGAGGUGUUCGACAUCUUCGUCCAUAGAGAACUUCAAAAGGAGCUUUGCCUAAGCUUGAUUGAUAACUACUGUUAUAAGCAAAUUCAGCGAAUGGAAGGCACUUCUACCAAUUCAUACCAAACGAUAUAACACAAGCUCAGAGCAUAUCUUCUAGGACUUGAUUCACUCUUUCUACUUGACCACUUGAUUGAGGAUGGAAAGCAGUGCUAAAAGAUAAGUGAGUCCCCAUAGCAUUCUGAAAACUCUCCCAAAAGCGAGAAGUAAAGAUACUUCCACGGUCUGAGUUAAUCUCCAGAGGAACACCAUGAAGAGACACUAUCCGGGAGAUAUAUAACUCUCCUAGCUGGCUAGCUGUUAUACUCUCACGAACUGGAAGAACAUGAGCUACUUUGGAGAGACGGUCAAUGACCACAAAGAUAGCAUUAUUUCCUUUCNNNNNNNNNNGAUGAAAUCCAUACUGACUUUAUCCCAUUUCCAUUCAGGAAUAGCUAAAGGUUGAAGGGUGCCAGCAGGCCUUUGAUGUUUUGCCUUAACUCGACGACAAACGUCGCACUUAGCAACGAACUCAGCAAUUUCUCUCUUCAUCCUAGUGCACCAAAACCUCUGGCGUAGGUCCUGAUACAUCUUAGUACUACCAGGAUGAAUGGUGAGAGGAGAAUCAUGAGCCUCCUUAAGGAUCAAUUGCCGCAGACGUUUGCACUUAGGAACCACUAAACAGUUCCAAAAGAACACAAUACCUUUCUCAUUGAUCGAGAAAUCCUUAGCGUUUCCGCUAGCAAUAUUCUCCUUGAUCUGGGAUAUACCCUUAAAAUAUGCCUGCACGGCUAUGAUUUGAUCCCUAAGAGUAGGCUUCGCCACCAGGGUAGAAAGGAAUCCUUGAGGAACAAUAUGAAGAUUUAACUUCCGAAAUUCCUCAUAGAGACCUCGUUGUAGCAUCAAAUUGUUACAAUAAGACUUACGACUUAGUGCAUCAGCCAUAACAUUGGCCUUCCCCGGGGUGUAAGUUAUUCCCAAGUCGUAAUCUGUGAUCAACUCAACCCACCGUCUUUGCCUGAGAUUCAAAUCCGGCUGGGUGAAGAUAUAUUUCAGACUUUGGUGAUCCGUGAAUAUUUCGCAACGAUUACCAAGAAGGUAAUGUCGCCAGGUUUUAAGUGCAUGGACUACAGCUGCAAGCUCAAGAUCAUGCGUGGGAUAAUUAUCCUCAUGUGGACGCAAAUGUCGAGAUGUGUAUGCAAUCACAUGACGAUCUUGCAUGAGAAUGCAACCUAAUCCUUGUCGCGAGGCAUCNNNNNNNNNNNNNNNNNNNNNNNNNNNNNNNNNNNNNNNNNNNNNNNNNNNNNNNNNNNNNNNNNNNNNNNNNNNNNNNNNNNNNNNNNNNNNNNNNNNNACCAUUUUAAUUGAUUCGACCUGAUGCUCAGAUCAACUUGCUUUUAACCUGCAUGGAAAUGACAUGUUAGGUUGCUGGUUUGUGAUUUGGACAAUGUUUGAUCAUAUCAUUUGAAGUGGAAUUUAAAUAAUUUCCAAAUUUCAUCUCCAAAGUAUUUAUAAGAGUUAACUUAUUCAUUAAUCUAUAUGUUUGGGUUCAGUAACAUUUUCAAACAUGUUUGACAAUGACAUAUUCAGAUUCUUUGAAUUUUUCUGAUACUUUUUCAUAUAUAAAUUUUUUUCGUUGGACUUACAGAUUAUUUGCUAUGAUUUUUAGAAGUUUUAGACAUUUCUGGAAUUAUUUUUAUAUUAUAAAAUCCUUUAUUGCGUCACAGUGAUAUCUCUGGUCAACAGGGGCUGGGCCAGGUCAAACCUGACCUGUGGGGUCCACUGGUCAGUGACCAGGGGCUAAUCCCUGAGUUGACCAGCCCCUAACUGGGGUUUGACCCACCCUGGGCCCACUGUCAGCGGCUGGGGGGUGUUAGUGGGUUAAUUAGGCUGACGACGUCGAACCUCACCGGAAUUUCGCCGGCGACGACCAAAACAGUGGCGAGUUCUCGCCGGAGUUGAUCAAACUCGCGUUACAGGCAUCGGUUUUGGGCGUGGUUUAGUUCUACGGCUAGCUAGCGAAGCAUCGCAUCCAGAGGGGAAGGAGCUGGACCAGGUGGUCCCCGGAAUCCACGCCGGCGACGAGGUCAGCGGCGGCUGCGGAUCGGGCAUCGUCGGGAGUGGCGUUGCGGGACACUAGCAAGAUGGGAGAGGGGCUCUACGGCAUCUACAGAGCUCCAGGAGCUCAUUACUUAGCUCGGUCUCGCGAACGGGGUACCACAACGACGACAACGACAUGGCCGGCGACGAGGACCUUUGGGCUCCGGCGUCUAACGGGGUUAGAGGAGGGGAAUGGCAUCGGGAAGAGGGGGAAUGGGAAGAGGGGCUCACGACGGUUCUUCUGAGGCUGACGGCAGGGUCGGCGAGGACCGGGAGGCGACGAAUCGGCGGCGACCAGAGCUCCUGGGAGAGAGAGAUCCGAGAGGGGAGGGGAACGAGAGGAAGAGAGGAGGAGAUAAGGCAGAGGGGAGGAGGAGGAGAAGAAGGCACGGGGCGUCGCGCUGGCGCUCCUGGGGGCCUCCAGCGGCGAGCAGGCAGGCAGGAGGUGGUCGGGGCUGGCCGCCGUGCUCAUCUUCCCCUCUGCCUACUCACAGGAGGAGGAAGAUGACCAGGGAGCCCCUCGUGGGCUGGGCGUCCUCACGCGAGAGGUAGGUUUUUCCCCUUUUCUUUCUAUUUUGUUUCUGUUUUAUUUAUUGACAUUGUUUUUCAUUUAUUUUGGCUUCACAAUCAAACUAUAAAUAGUUUGAAAAAUGCUGGGUGUUAGUUGGAAUAUUUCCAAUCACCCAUAAGGUUUUGAAAGCUAUAAAAUUUUGAAUUCAAAAUUAAAACUUGAAACCAGUAGUCUUUUGCAUUUAUUUAAAAUGCCAAAAGUAUUAGGGAAAUGGUUUCCUUCAUUGCUUUUUUGUUUUCAAGAGUUAUCAGAAAAGUUGAACUUUUCUUGAGGCCAUUUUGGAUUCAUUGAUUUGAAUAAGUUUAUAAUUCCUUUGAAUUUGAGAAGUGCCUAGGGUUUUUGAGUUUUCCUUCACCACUUACUUUGAUCUUGUUGUAAUUUUUUUGGAUGCAAUGCAACGAAGAUUUGAGCAAAAUGCUAAACCUUGGUUGGGGUUCAAAGGAUGUGACAAUAGAUAAAUUUAUGUUUCAAAAUGCAAAUUUGAAAGACUCAUACUCCUCCCUAUUUGAAUUGGUUAUAUACGACCGACAAAACUGAAAAGAAGAUAUAUAUCAUGUAUUUAUGUUUAGUUCCUACUCCUCUUUUUUUGAUGCAGUUUCUGUAGUUUUUGCAUUUCUUUCUUGAAGUUGUUUAUGCAGUUAACUAAAAAUAGCAUAGCAAACUAUUGUAUACCUUACGUUUUGUCAACUUCUGUAUACUACUCCUCUUUCGUUUCGGAAGUGUCUGCAGUUUUCUGCACUUCUUUUUUAAAAUAGUUUCAACAGUUAAUAGCAAACUUCCGUAUAUCUUCUGUUUGUCAACUUUUGUAUACCUUCUGUUUUACUUCUCAAUGAUUUUUCCCUCUAUAUUAAUAUUAUUGAUACAUUGUGUUUUGUAUGUAGGAGAACAUACCAAUGUACAGAAUGAUCUCUGCAUUCAAAUUAUUCAAAAGUACCUUGAAUCAAUUGAAAGAAGAAGAUCUGCCACAAAGCUACUGAUCUUAGGAUUCCUUGUCUUACAAUUGUCAAUGUGUAAUAGAAUGCCAAUUUCUGCUAGGAACAACCUUUCUUAAUGUGGGCUAGUUUUGAGUUUUAUUAUUGUCAUAUGUAAUACUAUGUUAGCACAUACUCGUACAACUACUGCACAAUUUUCUUUUGUGACUAUUGUUGGAACACUAUCAAGGUGAAAUAUUUGGAGGAGACCAAAUUAAUAUGUUCCUUUUCUUAUUGUGGAUGUUUAUCAUACUUUUUGGUUUUUUGUGCCUUCUAACAUCUCCACUGGAUAUCAACAGAAAGUUUUGG